This 50427-nucleotide long non-coding RNA is filed under the name Salvia miltiorrhiza (redroot sage). RNAcentral describes it as "long non-coding RNA (SMIL_LNC011427)". The record is from RNAcentral. Lineage: Eukaryota; Viridiplantae; Streptophyta; Magnoliopsida; Lamiales; Lamiaceae.
CCGAGGUUGCCCCCGCUGCCGCCGUUGGGGAUGGUGGAGCCGACGGGGGCCAUGAAGAAGGUGAUGCCGUCAGCGGUGAGGUUGGUGGGGCUGGGUGUGAUUAUGAAGUUUACGGUGGUUUCAAAGUCGACUUGGCCGCCGGCUUGGGAGAACUGGACCGGGUUCGAGUGCAAGACCCGGCCGACACUGCCUAUCGUCGGGAAGGUGAGGCGGAGGAAGGGGGAGUUCCAUACGAAAUGGGCGUGGCCUUGGUAGGUGAGAUCGGUCGGCAAGUCGCUCCAGAAGUCGUAGGUGAAGGACGUCGAUUGGGACUGCGCAGUGUUGGCGGCAGCGGCGAGGAGGAGGAUGAUGGAGGAGAGGAGAGGAAUUAGGGUUUGGAGGAGCUUAGCCAUGGCUUAAUUGAGUAUAUUUAGAUGUGGUGGAUGAUGGUGGUAUCUCUUGCUCCUAUUUAUAGUGAAUAGUGUAUAGAGUAUAGUGUAUAUAUGCAUGAUAUUAUGAUUUAAUUUCCUAUGAAUUAUUGAACUUUCAUCAAAUUUUUAUUUUAUAUAUAAACUUCAAAUUAAAUGUAGCGUGAUAAUCACUAAAUUUAUUUAAUCUUAUAUUUGCUACCAAUCAGGAUUCUAGCCAAAUUNAAUAUAUUGGUGUGGGUCCGUGGACGUAGGCAGUUUGGCCGAACCACGUUAAAAAUAUCGGUGUCAUUUUUCUUCUCGUUUCAUAUCGGUCGAUAUCCACAAUAUUGAGUCACACUUGAUCCCGGGCGGAAUUAGUUGUGUCUAAUUUCCCAAUAACAAUCCUGGGCGGAAUUAUUGGCGUCUAUAAUUCCCAACAACAAUAUCAUGGAUGGCGACGUAUGGUUGGCUUAGUCCGCUGGCGGCGGAGAGCCCUACCUGAACCUGCUCGGGAAGAAAGCCGCUCAAAUCGUACUCAUAGAUGACCUCAAACGUCUUCGAGCCGGCGGUGGCACUGACGGUGAUCAUCUUCGUGGCUCCGACGUAGUUGAUCCGCGCAGUCACCUGCUGUCCGACUAAGGCGCCGUCGACCUCUGUCGUGUUGCGGGAUUCCCUAGAUCCGAUGUCGAUACCGAUGUGGGGGUAGUUCGGAUCCCACGGGCUGUUGACAUAGGUGUCAAACUCGACGGCGAAGACAGAUGGGCUAUUUCCGGGAGACUCCGAAGAUUCCGAGGUUGCCCCCGCUGCCGCCGUUGGGGAUGGUGGAGCCGACGGGGGCCAUGAAGAAGGUGAUGCCGUCAGCGGUGAGGUUGGUGGGGCUGGGUGUGAUUAUGAAGUUUACGGUGGUUUCAAAGUCGACUUGGCCGCCGGCUUGGGAGAACUGGACCGGGUUCGAGUGCAAGACCCGGCCGACACUGCCUAUCGUCGGGAAGGUGAGGCGGAGGAAGGGGGAGUUCCAUACGAAAUGGGCGUGGCCUUGGUAGGUGAGAUCGGUCGGCAAGUCACUCCAGAAGUCGUAGGUGAAGGACGUCGAUUGGGACUGCGCAGUGUUGGCGGCAGCGGCGAGGAGGAGGAUGAUGGAGGAGAGGAGAGGAAUUAGGGUUUGGAGGAGCUUAGCCAUGGCUUAAUUGAGUAUAUUUAGAUGUGGUGGAUGAUGGUGGUAUCUCUUGCUCCUAUUUAUAGUGAAUAGUGUAUAGUGUAUAGAGUAUAGUGUAUAUAUGCAUGAUAUUAUGAUUUAAUUGCCUAUGAAUUAUUAAACUUUCAUCAAAUUCUUAUUUUAUAUAUAAACUUCAAAUUAAAUGUAGCGUGAUAAUCACUAAAUUUAUUUAAUCUUAUAUUUGCUACCAAUCAGGAUUCUAGCCAAAUUUACUAUUGACAUUACAAAGUCGAGGAUAUCCUAAGAUGGAUUGAAACAUUAAGAUAUUCCAAGGAUCUUAAUAAUUUCUAUCAUUUGGCAUAAUUUUAUUUGAUUCAUAUCUCAUUGAAAGAAUAUGAUUUUUAUCCCCUCCGUUCACAAAGAUUGUAUGGUGAACUCAGGACAUGAGUUUUAAUAAAUACUUCUUCCGUCCCCAAAAUAACUUUCUAUGAGAGAGGGGCACGAGUUUUAAGAUAAAAUUGUUGAGUGUAUUCGAAGUGGUUAAAAAGUGUUAGUAUUGAAAGUGAUGAAAAUGUGUUAUAAUUAGUAUUUGAAGUGGUGAAAAGGUAAAAAAAUAGAGUAAAUAUAUGGAGUAUAUAUUAGUAGAAAGUGUAGAAAGAUCCACCAAAAUUGAGUGGAGAAAAAGAUCCACUAAAAUUGAUGUGUUAAAUGGUUGAAUAUUUUGUAAAUAUUGAAUGUGAAUGAUGUUUAAAAUGUAAGGGGCGUAGUUUCUAAAUAAAGAAAGCAUACAAUCUUUAUGGACAGACGAAAAUAAUAAUAAACAUACAAUCUUUGUGGAUUGAGGGAGUGAUAAACAUUUCAUUCAUUUAUUGUGGUUUGGAAUCGAUCUUUAUCAACAUUACAUGCAUUCACAAAUAUGAAGAAGGAUUUAAAACGUGUGACACCUUAUUUUAUAUUUAAAAUCGCAAUCACGAAGAGGACCACACUUAUCCUCUAAUCAAUGCUCUCCAUUAUUUUAUAGGAAAGGAUAAACAUGAUUCUUGGUUUAUUUAUGCUUUUAAUAUAUACAAUUAGAUGAUUUUUGGGGCAAAAAGUGAAGAUUUUGAUGUCCGACGGAGUCAAGUAAAGAAGUUGAAAAAAUCGAUUUUUGAUGCAAUUUUAGAAGAUCCAAAGAUGAUAAGAUCUGUGCUUGAGGGAACUUAUUUUGCAUAAGAAAGACUUUCAUUAAUUUCUUAAUUCGAGUAUAAAAUUAGAGGAUUAAAACCACAACUAAUGUUCCUUUGGCUUUUCCUUGAACAAUGUUGGGUAGCUAGUGAAUUUUCUUUGGUAAGUUCGUCCUUUUCUUUGACAAUGAGAAUUGACGUAAAUUGGAUUGUAUUGAAGAUUCUAGUAACAUUAUUCUAGUUUAUAUUUCAUGAUUUAAGGGCUGAAAAUAUGUAAGUAUGUUAAAGGCUAAAUUUUAGGUAAAUAAGUGCUCCAUACUUUGUUAAUAUGCCACUUUACAAAUAAUGUAUGUGUGAACUUGAAUUUGUUUUUUCAUUUAAAGAGAACUAAUAAUGAUAUCCAUUUCCCCCGUGAUGAUUCGAACCCCCAACUUAACAAUUACUGGUGAAACGUUUUAUCCAUGUGAUGACUCUAACCCCCCAAUUUAUAAUUAAUGAUUGGAUGGGAAGCGUAUUGAGGUUGUUAGUGAUUCUUCCAAGGUUAUUUUGUAACUAUGAACUAUCGAUUUUGUAUCAAUUGUACCCUGCAUUUGUUUUUUAGCUAGAGAAAAUAUGAGAAAAGAAAUGAGACAUUUAAAGGCAUAAAUUUUUGUUAUCCCUCAUUUUCUCAUCCAUCAAAGUGAACGCACCCUUAAAUGAUGAUUUGAAAAAAUAAAGUGAUUGUUUCUACGCUAAACCUAAUUGCGUUCGGCCUUUUUCGUUAUUUUAGUAUUUUCCUCAUUUAUUUUCAAUUCUGUUUCCUAUAUAUGGAUAUUUGAUGUAUGAGAAGAUGCUUUCAUAUGAUCCAUUUCAGAAAUAAAAUUAUUUAUUUUCUUUCUCACGAAGAGCGCUCACUUUGACAUCAGUAUCGCAUGAGCUGCACAUAAUUAAUGAAAGAAAAUAAGCAUACACUUGCAUUAUAUAAGAAGAGCAUAUAUACUCGCAGCCGUUUCUCAUAAAUUUCACGCAGUUUUUCGAUCUUUAGAGCCGCCGGCAUGCUCGGCCGAUCUGAAGCUCCAGUAGUCGAUAUCGUGAAGGGCGACGAGGUCGCCGGUGGAGGAGGCGAUUCCGACCUGAACCUGCGACGGAAGAAUUUCCCCCAAAUCAUACUCGUAUUCGAGAAGGCGAGUUUCUUUGUCGCAUUUGAGCGUAACGUCGAUGAAAUUGAUGCCGUCGUAUUGUAUGUGCAGCUGCGCCUCUUUCCCGAUGCACGAAUCGCCAAAUUUCACGAAGUUGCUCGACUUUAUCGAGCUGAUGUCGAUGCCGAUGUGCGGGAGAUCGUGGCUCGGAUCCCAACCGUUGGAGUAGAGGUCGAAUUCCACGGCAAAGAAGGCGGAGGCGGCCGGGCUAUCCCCCGAGGGGUUGAAUAGGCCUAGAUUGCCUCCGUAGGAACCCGGGGGGAUGGUGGUCCCCACGGGCGCCAUGAAGAAGGCGAUGCCGUCCGCGGCCGGGCCUUUUGUGGGGGUGAUGGUGAAUUUUAUGGUGGUAUUGAAAGAUACUACAAUUGAAUUUUCCCACAAUUUGAAGGGUUUGGAGUACAAUACGCGGCCGAUGCUCGACGGCCGUGGAAGGCCGUUGGCGUCGGUCUUGGUUAGCCGGAGGGAACGGGCGCCGUCGGGGACGUGGGCGUCGCCCUGGUAGGUUAGGUCGGUGGAGUUGGCGACGAAGGAGGUGAAGGUGAAGGAGGUCUUUUGUGAGGUCGCCUUGUUUGCUAGCAUUAGGAAAAAUGCUAUGCAAAAGAGGAGAAGAAUUAGGGUUUGUAGAAGCUUGGCCAUGGCUUGAUUUGAUGGGUGGAGUAUUAUUUGGAUGUAGUGAAUAGUGGUUGGCUCUCUAGCCCUAUUUAUAUUGGUUUAAUGCCACAUUCCAUUAUUAGUUUAAUAUAUUGUAGCUCACUAUUUUUUUUGAACUUUAUGGAGAAGGCAUGAGUUUUUUAAAAAAAUUGAGAAAUGUGUAUAAAAUGAAUAAAGAGGCUCACUAAAGUUGAUUUGGCAGGUAUUAAUAAAUUAUUUGUGUGAUGAGUUUUUUGUAAAUAUUGUGUGUGAAUGAGGGUAAAAUAUAAAGGUACAUAUGUCUUAAAAGGGACGGAAAUGACAAAUACUUAUUGUGGAUAAAGGUAGUAUAAUAUACGGAGUGUAUACUUAAGUUUAUCAAUUUUAUUACUAAAUUAAAUAUGGUUAAUUUAAUAUCAAUAUGCUUAUUAGUAAUUAGUAUUACUCCAUUCAUCCCAAAAACAUCAAUCUUUACUUAUUUUUUCGUUCGUCUCCAAAACAUCUUCCUAAUCUAUUUUUAUGUCCUGUAUUAAAUUUUCAAGCUAGUUUCACUCCCCAACUAUCGUUUAAAUUAUACAUACAUAUAUGGACGACUUGAAAAUUUGUUAAGGCAAUUGAUUAUGCCCAUGCCGUAUAGAAUCAAAAACCAUUCCUAAACAAAAAAUAGAAUAAUUAAGAAAAUAAUCUAGAAUAUAAAUAUAGAACUUAAAUUCUUUGCCACAAAUUUAAGUCAAUCAGCCGACAUAGUAAAUGUAUGUGUUUACAAGUAAUCAUGCCUUGUCUUGAGAUUCAAGUUGGCAAUUGAAGCAAAAUUUCUCACACAUAGCUAUCUACUCUAGCUAUGAAAUCAUGCAUUGUCUUGAGAUUUAAUUUGGCCCAUGAAUCCAAAUUUUGCAAUCAUGCCAUGUCUUAAGAUUCAAUUUGGCCCAUGAAACUAAAUUUCUUGAGCCUAUCUCUAACCUCUUUGAUAUUCAUAUAUAAUAACACCUUUAAAACACACACAACCCACUUCUAAAGUUCUACAUGUAUACACACGAACUCAUGCUUAUGUCACAAAUUAAGUUUUUCAAAAAUAAACUUUUCCCUAUUUGAAUUCCUUAUGUAUUCAGUUUGUUUUUAAUAUUUAAACUAUGUUAUUACAACAAAAUUAUCUAGCAGGGACAUGAUUUUAGCAACAUAAAAAAAGAUGUCAUAAAUUUCUUACUCCCUCCGUCCUCCGAAGCUUGAUCAACAAUUUCUUUUCGGCACGGAGUUUAAGGAGUUAAUAUUUUGUAUGUUAAUUAGUGUGGUAGGUGAAAAAAUGAAAAGAUGAAUAACGGGAAAAGUUGUUGCCAUAUAAGGAAAGUGAUCAAGCUUCGCGGAUAACCCAAAAAUGAAUACUGCUCAAGAUUCGCUGGAAGAAUGAAGUACAAUUUUAGGCAUAACAAAAAUUUAUUUACAUCCACACAUGCAUGCACCGAUACUUUAUCACAUGCAAAAUUACAAGUAACUUUGCUAAUUACAAAAAUUAAUACAUGAACCCUCAAAUGUCACUAGAUGUAAUGAUAUUUUUAUAUUUUUUCGACACACAUAAUAGUUACUCAUCACAAAAUAUCAAUAUUUUUAUCAUAUAGUGAUAUUUAUAAGUUUCACAAUUUUUCAAAUAUUAUGUCAAUGCUAGCUUAGACAUUUUGUUUUGACACUUUGUAUUGAAACAUGUUUUUUACAAAAAUAAAAUAAUUGAAUUUAUUAACGAAUAUUUAAACAAUCAAUCAAUAAUAACUACAAAGUGAAGCAAUUCAAGUUAAAAGGUAAAUUCUAAAUUUAAAUUUGAAAAACAAGAAAAUUCGAGCCUUAAUUUUUUUUAUUUUUUUAUAUACGCACUACAAAUCUCCCAUAAAUCUUAAAUCAAAAUUUAACCUUACAACAAAAAAUAAAUAUAUAAACUAAAAUGGAGUAUGAUAAUAUAGUUUUAUCAAAUUAUUUGAUAAUUCUAUUAAUAAAAGAUAAAAAAAAAAAUAAGGGGGGCCCACGGGCAUGCUGCCCCCAUAUGCUAUGGACCAUGGUGGCUAGGUCACUGCGCUCUCGAGAUCUACACUAUUUAUACGUGGUAUUCAUUGCGAAUUAUUUUGCAUUAUCUUUGUUUAUUUUUCUUAUAUUGGGAAAGAAAACAUGAGUAAUAUAUAGUAAUCUUUUAGAAGUCCAGUUACCAAUGUCGUCAAAAUUAUCUUGUCUAUUUUUAGAAGUUCAGAUAAACAUGCAACACAUUUUCAGAAGAAAUUUAAUAAUCUCUUACGAUUUACAUUUAUUUUUUAAAUAAUUAUCUCAGUGGUGAUAAAAUAAAAAAAUCGACUACAUUUUUCUAAGUAAUUUAUUAGAUACAAAAUAUUAUGAUUUAUGUUUGUAUAUUUUUUGUUUCCCAUUAGUGCAUUAUCAUUUCUAAGUAUCUUCUCACUUGUUCACUGAUUCACUAUUGGAUUAACAUGAAUAUACGAAUUUCAUAGUAUACCAACUGUUCGAUAAAAGUCCUAAAAGAAAUCUUCCAUAGAUAACCUUGCAAAUAACAGGAAACUAAAAUUACUCCCAAAGCAUUCCAUACAUAGAGAUGCGGAUUACCUUAUUCGUAGACUUAACGAGAGUACACUCGAUCGCUAGUCCUUAUUUACGACCCAAACUACACAUACAUUACAAAAUCACACAACUUGACGAAUGUUUCCACCGAGCUCCUUCCUGCUCUUGGCAGCGACGCCGACGUUUUGCACCAUGGUGGCCGUGAAAUACCACGCCACGAUGUCGUGUCUGGCGACGACUUGCCCCGUGGAGGCGGAGAGCCCGACUUGGACCUGCUCAGGAAGGAAGCCGCUCAAAUCGUACACAUAGCUGACCUCGAACGCUUUCGAGCCGGCGGUGACGUGGACGUCGAUCAUCUUCGUGGCGGCGGCGUAGUUGAUCCUUGCCGUCACCUGCUGCCCGAUUAUGGAGCCGUCGACCUCCGUCGUGUUGCCGGAUGACCUAGAGCCGAUGUCGAUGCCGAUGUGGGGAUAGUUCGGAUCCCACGCGCCGUUGACGUAGGUGUCGAACUCGACGGCGAAGACCGAGGGGCUGCUGCCGGAGGAGCCGAAGAUUCCGAGGUUGGAUCCGCUAGAGGAGGAAGGGAUGGUGGACCCGACGGGGGCGAUGAAGAAGGCGAGGCCGUCGGCGGCAGAGUUGCCGGGGCCAGGUGUGAUGAUGAAGUUUACGGUGGUUUCAAAGUCGACUUGGCCGCCGGUUUGUGAGAACUGGACCGGGUUCGAGUACAAUACCCGGCCAACUUUGGCGGUCUGUGCGUCGGUGAGGCGGAGGAAGGUGGAGUCCGACGGGAAAUGGGCGUCGCCUUGGUAGGUGAGGUCGGUCGGCUGGUCGCCCCAGAAGUCGUAGGUGAAGGACGUCGAUUGGGACUGCGCCACGUUGGCGGCGGCGAGGAGUAGGGCGACGGAGGAGAGGAGAGGAAUUAGGGUUUGGAGAAGCUUGGCCAUUGCUUAAUUGAUUUGGAUGUGGUGGAUGAUGGUGAUAUGUCUUAAGCUUGCACUCCUAUAUAUACUAGUGUAGUUCAUGCAUGAUAAUGUUGUUUAAUCAUCAUAUAUUUUAUUUCAUUAAAAUGAAUCACCUCGUCCAUUCGAGGUAAAUGAACCAUGUGAUCUUAUGUACUACCAGCCACAUUUUAAUUUGCUCGUUGGAAUAUUAUCUAUAGUUGUAUCUAUUGUAUUUGUAUAAAUGAUUUUUGGAAGGGAACUUAGAAAAAGUUCUUGAUAGGGGCUGUAUUUUUUAAUUUCAAGUGCAAAAUUAAGUUUUGAUAGACAAUUUACUUAUGAUUCAAUUUAACGAUCGGGUUUUCUGAAAAAAAAAAAUUCACACAAAAAAUCGAUUAUUUAAUAAUUUUAUAAGAAAAAAGAAGAAGAAGAAAUUUUCUAUUUAGGAUAUACACGAGCAGAUGAGAUCCUCUGUCCCACUAUUUUGUGUGUACCACCAUGUACCAUUCUUAAUUUAUUUAUUUUAGUAAUUAUUUUUUAUAAAAAUAAAAAUUAUUAUUAUAUUUUUUAUUUUCAUUUAAGUGAGUUACUAGAUUUAUUUGGGGUGAGCACAGGUUAUUUUGGAAAAGGAGAAUAUCUGUAAGAUGAUGUGAAAAUUAUUCAAUAUAAGCACAUAUAGGGGUUGAGUUCUCAAAGGAACUUAAUUAAUAUCCAAUGUGAUUGAUACAUUUCGACUAAAUGGAUGGACUGUGACGCCCCGACCAAAAGUAAAGAGUGAUUGUGAUCGGUGCACAAGGCAUGGAUGAAAAGCGGUUCCUAGUAAUGCUUCGAUACGGAGGAUACAUGAAUGAAUCGAAACACACCAGAAAGAGAGGGAUUCCAUGAGUACGUACGCAGGUAUAUGACUGCAUAUUCGAGGAGCUUAAAUAAUUUUAUUGGUGUUACUCAUAUCAACAAGAUGCAUCUUCUUUUUUGGUGACCAUAUGAAAUAAACUCCAAGGUUAAGCGUGCUUGGCGUAGAGCAACUUGAUGAUUGGUGACCUCCCUAAGAAGUUUAUCAGAAAGCGUGCUAGUAAGAACAAAACAUGCUAGAAAAGACUCAUAUUAGUCUGUGGGGACAGCCGUUAAAUUUGGAUUCGGGUCUUUACAAGUGGCAUUAGAGAUUAACCUCUCACAGUAUGGUGCGGUUCGGGAACGAACCAAGCGGAAGUUGGUACUCAAUAUUCCAUCUAUUGUGAGUUUCUUUGUCUUCUUCAUCUUUCUUUUACUCUGCUGUCGAGUUUCAGAGAGUAAUCAGAUAGGUUUUCAUUCGAGUUGAGUUUCUUGAGUGAUAAACUGUUAAUUGUGAGUUUCAUUCGAUCAUUUGUUGAUUAUAAAUAUCUGCACAUGGAUAUUGGUCAAUUUAGAUACACUGAUCUUCAAAUUGAUUGACGAAUCUUUAGAAUUCAAAAUUUAAAUCAAAUACGCGUGUUCAUAGUUAAUUGGUAAGUACACUUUUUUUUNAUAUAAAUAUAAUUGACUCGAGAUCUCUGCUACUUACGCAUACUUCGCUCGAGACAAAAAUAAAUAAUUGAUCAUUGAGAACUCCGCUACCACACCAUACUCGUGUACUAUUUAUCAUUGUUUAUGAUUAUUAAUAAAGACGUGUCUUUGCCUGAUAAAUUUAAUUUUCAUACUCUUGAUUCUUUUUUGGCCAUAUCAUUUUUUAAAAAAUUGGGAGGGGAAUGGUGGAAAUUGAAUAUGAAAAAUACCAGUCAAAUGAUACAUGUGCACUUUCAAAGACAAAACAUAAAUGUAACCUUCGUUUGUAAAACAUAGAAAUUCUACCAUAUAUUUGUGAUUAUUUUACCUUUAUACGAUCUAUUUAUAUAUAUUUAUUAGAAUUAAUAAAAAUAUACUACAUUCGUCCACGAAAAAGAAUCUCAUUGUGUGCUGGAUGUGAGUCGUAUCGAGAGUGAGAGGGAACACAUUGUCUCCGGUCUCUGCCGUCUUGGCGAGAUCUUCGGCAUUGGCCUGAUCCGGCCGCUGAGGUGGCCGGUAGGUCAUCCAUGGAGUAUGGCUAUAUUCAUACUCGUAUCCCAUUUUGGUUGUAGAACAAGAAGGCGGUGUUGUUGAAAUCGUCGUCGUUGAUAUCCUUUGGAAAACCGGCUGGGAUAGUUUUCGCCAUUAGAGUGAUGUGCGUAGAAGAGAGGAUCUUCCGGCGGUCUUCGCGGAAACCGUUGUCGCGUGUCCAUAGUUCAUGGAUUGAAAAUAUGCAGGUAAAGCACCCGGCGUACUCGGCCAUACAAUUAACUCGCCAUCAUGAGCUAUAAUUCUAUUCGAGUAAGUUCAAUCUCUAAUGAAUUAAUAUAUUUUUAUAAAUAUAUAAUUUGCAAAAUAACCUUAAAAUAAAAUAUGUAAUAAGGGUAAAAUAGGCAAUCCACAUGUUGUGCUCAAUGCUCUUUUUAUAUUACUAGGAGAAAGAUAAUUAAUGUUAUUUUAUCUAAUAAAAUAAAAAAUAUAAAUAUAAUAUUUAUUAUAUUUAAAUUUUUAAUUAACAAUUUUGUUUAUUUAAUUCUCUUAUCUCUUACAAUAUUUUUUUUUAGAAAAUCUAUUAGUUCAUUACUUCGACUAAAUAUAAUUUAUUGGAUAGAUAUAUUUAUUUAUAAGCCUUAUCAAUAGCUAUAGAUAUAUAUUACAUAGAUUUAAUGUAAUAUUUAAUGAAUCAAUAGCUCUUUUCUUUUAUAUUAGUAUAGAUUAUAUAGAUAGAUAUAUAUAGUGCAUGCAUGAUAAUGUUGAUUGAUCAUCGUAACUAUAUAAUUUAUUGCACUAAUAAUGAAUCACGUUCCCACUCGAGGUAUAUAAAAUGAAUCAUGUGACCUUUUCUACUACCCGACACAUUUUGCUCCUUGGAAUAUUAUUUAUAAUUGUGUCUAUUGUAUAGUGCAUGCAUGAUAAUGUUGUUUAAUCAUCAUAAAUCUUCAUGGCUCAUCCACCUCAUCCAAUCGAAGCAUAUAAUGAACCAUGUGAUCAUAUCUACUACCUGACACAUUUUGCUUCUUGGAAUGCUAGCUAUAAUUGUAUCUAUUGUGUGAAUGUAAGCAAAAGGGCGCGCACAAUUUUUUAUUUUUUUUUGGAUAGGUGACUCGCUCAAAAUACCUAUUGAAUUGACUCGUAAUCGCACGAGGUCAUUCUAGCGUAGUAAGCUAACCCAUGUCGUAUCUCACAAGGAAGAUUAAGCAGGACGACUAAUUUUGGAUUAUUUUUAAUCAAAUGUUGGAUAUUUUUUAAUUAGAGUAAAAUUAAAAUAAGUAAAUUAUUGUAUAUUUUCAGAUUCGGAAACUAAUGGCUUUAUUUUAAUUUAAUCAUUUUCAUAUGUCAGUUAUAUUAUGUAAAUGACGUUUUUAGUAACAAACAAAUGACAUUUUAAUCAAUAAAUGAUACUUUUAUCAAUAAUAAAUGAAACCAUAUUAAGGUAAAUAGGGUAAAGGUUAGACUUAACUGUGAAAGCAUCAUGAGUUUUAUGUGUAACAUUUUCGGUGUGAAAAUUGAUGAGUUAAAAAAAAUGCUCCAUAUUGAAUUCGACAUUAGAUGAAUCUACAGUAGAUUUUCAUGCAUGAUCUAAGAGCUGAAAAUGAUUCACGGUCUAUAUUUAUUCUAUCAAAUUCCAUAUCACUUUAAAUCUCAAAUUACAUUUGCACUAUAUAUGAUUAUAUCCUAAAUUAUCAUAAAUAUGAACCGCUUAAAUCUGGCGUCGUUGCACCGCGGACAUCUUGCCGCUGCUUUCUCCCACCAUUGCCCUUGCUGCCCUCAUCUUAGGUGCCAAUUUUUUGCUCGUCGUGCAGAAUUUGAAAGGGGUAAAUUAUUUUUUCAAUUUUUUAUUGCAUUUUGCUGUCUAAGUUGAUUUCUCAAGUAAAGUGGACUUGGGUUUUGUUUCGAUUAUAGCUGAAUUCGAUGGCGCUGUGUGGUUAGAUCUGUAAUUUUGACGUGUUGUUGAAGUGUGCGGGAUUGAAUGUGAUCUGGGAGAAUUUAAGGGUUUUGGGACGUUAGUAUGAUGAUGGUGGGAUUUGAAUGAAUUUGAAUACCAGAUUAUGGUUGAUGUUUAAUUAUGUGAAUCUUGCGAUCUGUGUUGAAAUUAAUGUACAGUAUCUUCGCCUAGCCGGGGGUUCACCAUUUGGUUCCCGACCGUCCUGCUGCCUUCACUCCACACUCAAGUGCCAAUAUCUUCUUCUCGUUUCUCUUCCUUCUUCUUCUCCUCUUAGUACCUGCAAGACAGAAGGAAAAACCAGCAAGUAUAAAGAAAAAUCAGAAAACUUAAAGAAGUAAAGAAAGAAAGAAAACAAAGGAAACUCGAGGUGGGAAAAAGGUGUCCUCGGGACACAGGUGGCUCAGAUUUUUCCCACAGUGGCAACACACUCCGGCAGCUCAAAGACCACGGCACAAAGGGGAAGGGAAGUCAGAUCGGAGCUCAAAUCUGACGAGCACAGCCACCAAUAAUCAGGAAUCCGGUGGACAGGAUUCCGGCGGCUCAGAAAUCCUUCGCUUUAUCACCAAACAGGAAAUCUAAGGUCAGCAAUCCGACAAUAAUGCUAUCAACAGGAGGAAGCUCUCACUUUACGGCCACAACACCGGAAACCAGAACGGAAACCAGAGAACAGAAGGAAUAGCAGAGCCUUCAAGGUUGUGAACAUACUACAGAACUUCCCCCAAUCGAUUGCUUUAUAACCGAGACAGAGAAGGGUCGGGAAGAUGUAGUGGGCUUUGGGAAGGAGGAGGAAGCCAUUAAUGGUGGUGGAGCUCGAGGGAAAGCGAGAUCAGCAGUCGUGAAGACUUAGGGUUUGGGAGGGGAUUUGAGGUGGAGCGGCGGAGGUUGAAAUGAGGGAAAGGCCGAGUGAGAGAGGGAGUAUUUCAGUGGAUAAUGGGCUAGGGUAUUUUUGAGUUAACGGGCUAUAGGUGUCUGGGCCCAAAAGUUGGGCCAGAGAAGGGAUAAAGAGCAUUGGGCCAACAUUCCACAAUUAAGACAAUUAAGAGUAGAAAUUCUUCUUGAUUUGCUAAUUUAUUUAGGAUUAGCGAUAUUAGUUUGGAGUUUUAGAUGUCGAUUGAUUUCGUGAUCUUGAUUUAUGUGAUAAAUGCCUCUCAUCACUAAGAUUUGGAAUAUAUUGGAUAUCUAGGAUAGUGAUAUUAGUUUGGAGUUUUAGAUGUUGAUGUGUCUUUUUAGGCUGCGUUUACUUUGAUGGAUAAAUUUAUAUAUGGAAAAGGAUGGAUAACACAAAUUUAUGCUUUUAAAUGUCUCCUUCCUCUUCCAACAUUUGACACAAAAAGAGAUGCUCGCUAUUUUUUCUUCCUUAUCUUCACUUCAAGGAUGGAUAAUAUUAUCCCUCCAUUUUGGUGUGAUAAUAUUAUCCAUCAUUGAAGUGAAGAUAAGGAAGGAAAAAUAGUAGAGCAUCUCUUUUUGUGUCAAAUGUUGGAAAAGGAAAGAGACAUUUAAAGGCAUGAAUUUGUGUUAUUCAUCAUUUUCCAUAGAUAAAUUUAUCCAUCAAAGUAUACGAAGCCUUAUGUGAUAAAUGCUUUUUUAGGGGGGCCCACGGGCAUGCUGCCCCAUAUGCUAUGGAGUAUGGACCAUGGUGGCUCGGUCACUGCGCUCUCGAUUGCGAAUUAUUUUGCAUUAUCUUUGUUUGUUUUUCUUAUAUUGGGAAAGAAAACAUAGAGUAAUAUAUAUUUUAGAAGUCCAGUUACCAAUGUCGUCAAUCUCGAGUGAAAAUAAAUAUUACCAUAACACAAAAAUGACAAAGCUAUUGAUUAGUGACGAUAUGUUAGAAGUUCAGAUAAACAACACAUUUAUUCUUGUGUAUAUUAUAUUAACGUUUAUUAUAUAUUAUAAAAAGAACAUAUUCUUUCAAAAUUAUCUUGUCUAUUUUUAGAAGUUCAGAUAAACAACACAUUUUCAGAAGAAAUUUAAUAAUCUCUUACGAUUUACAUAUAAUUUUUAAAUAAUUAAUUAUCUCAGUGGUGAUAAAAUAAAAAAACGAAGUAAUUUAUUAUAUACAAAAUAUUAUGAUUUAUGUUUGUAUAUUAUUUGUUUCCAUUAGUGCAUUAUCAUUUCUAAGUAUCUUCUCACUUGUUCACUGAUUCACUAUUGGAUUAACAUGAAUAUACGAAUUUCAUAGUAUACCAACCGUUCGAUAAAAGUCCUCAAAGAAAUCUUCCAUAGAUAACCUUGCAAAAGUACGUGUAUCUAUAUUAAUAGAAUAAGAGCCUAAGGAAUCUUAAAACACAAUUUUUGGAUUGCCUAUUUUACCACUAUUAUAUAUUAUUUUAAAAUUAUUUUACAUAUUAUAUAUUAAUAGGAAUAUAUUAAUUCAUUAGAUAUUACACUAAAUCUAUGUGAUAUAUUUCUAUAGCUAUUGAUAAGGCUUAUAAAUAAAUAUAUAUCCAUCUAAUAAAUUAUCUAAUAAAAGUAAUGAAUUAAUAGAUUUUUUAAAAUAAUAAAUUAUCAAAUAAAAUAACAUUAAUUACACACGUACGUUCUUUCUGCUAGCUAGUUAAAUAAAAAGAAGAAGAAACUGAGACUGAAAAAGGGAGAAUUAAGAUAGUCCAUUAUUAUCGUCUUAUUUUUAGAACUUAAACGAGAGAAAAGUCCAUCGCUAGUCCUAAUUUACAACACAACACAACACAUGAUAAUAAAUUUAAAUCACACAUAUUGCCGGAUGUACCCUUCCUCCUCUUUGCCGGCGGCGGCAUGCACGAGGGUGGACGUGAAAUACCACGAGACGAUGUCGUGCACGGCGUCUUGGCCUCCGGUGGCCGCGGAGAUCCCGACCUGAACCUGCUGAGGAAGAAUGGCGCUCAGGUCGUACACAUAGCUCACCUCGUAUGUUUGCGAGCCGGCGGCGAGGCUCACGCUGAUCAGCUUAGUGGCUUCCAGGUAGUUGAUGCGCGCAGUCACCUGCUGCCCGAGCAACGCGUUGCCGACGUUGGUCACGUUUUUGGAAACAUUAGAUUCGAUGUCGAUCCCGAUAUGGCGAUAGCUAGGAUCCACUCCGGGGUUGGAGAAGACGUCGAAUUCCACGGCGAAGACGGCGGGGCCGACGCCGGAGGAGUUGAAGAUUCCGAAGCAGCCGCCGGUGAAGCCGAGGGGUAAGCCGACGGGGGCGAUGAAGAAGGUCACGCCGUCGGCGGGGUUCGUGUCGCCUGCGUUGGGGGUUACGGCGAACGUCAGGGUGGUCUCGAAGUCGACCUGCGCGCCGGCCUCCCAGAACGUGAUCGGGGCUGAGUACACGGCCCGGCCGACGCUGUACUGGACCGCGCUGCCGGAGCUGGUGGUGUUGGUCAUGCGGAGGAAGGUGGAGUCCGACGGGAAGUGGGCGUCGCCUUGGUAGAGGAGAUCGGUCGGCUGGUCGCCCCAGAAGUCGUACGUGAAGGCUGUCGAUUGGGACUGCAUGCGCCGUGUUGGCGGCGGUGGCGAGGAGGAGGGCGAUGGAGAUUAGGGUUUGGAGAAGCUUGGCCAUGGCUUAAUUGAGUUAGUAGUAUUUGCUUUGGAUGUGGUGUGAUGAUGGUGUAUUGGUGUUAACUCUUGCUCCUAUUUAUGCUAGUAUAGUGCUUGAAUGAAAAUGUUAUUUAAAUUAACAUCAUAUUUUUUAUUACACAAAAAUGACUCACCCCAUCUUCUCGAGAUUAACUGAACUUGUGAUCUCUAAUAAUUUAUAACCUACCACAUUGUAGUUGUUGGAGUAUACUCCCUCUGUCCCGGUUUUAGCACGAGUUUUAAUAAAUUGGUUGAUUGUAUUAUGAGUAGAAUAAGGAUAAUAUUUUUUAUGGAAGUGUUAAAAUAAUUAAAAUUGAGAAAAUGUUUCACCUAUUUUUAUUAAAAAUAGAAAUGAAUUUUAAAAUAUGGGACGACGGCCAGAAAAAGAAAAUAUAUAUGGAUACUAAAAGUUGGGACGGAGUGAGUAUUAUCUAUAGUGGUAUCUAUUGUAUGAGUACAAGAGAUUUACUUGACUUGUUGAGGUAUGGAGAGAUUAUUACAAACCACGUGAAAUUGAGUUCUUGCUCCCACUGUAAAAGCAAUAAAUAUAGGGAAAAGAAAAUUAAUACUUCCUUCGUCCAAGAAAUGAGUACACAUAUUUCUUUUUUAGUCCGUUCAUGAAAUGAGUACUCAUUAAUUUUUCUUUUUAUCAAGUGUACCUCACACAACCCUUUAAUUAAUUAAUACCUUUAAAAAGUGGGUCCCUUAUUCCACUAACACCACACUCAAUCAUUUCUUAAAACCUGUAACGUCCCCAAAUGAGAUUCAUUUCGUGGAUUGAGUAAAUUCUAUACUACAAAUUAAUGGUUCGAAUUCACUUUAAAAAAUAAACUACAAUUAAGAGUCCCUCUCUUAAUUGGAAUUCAUAGACCAUCUGCUUCAGUCGUGCCCGAAGACAGAAAAGGUUUGGAUUGGAAUUCAUAGGUGGCUAGGGAAUAAAAGCAGUGUGGCCUCAAUCAUUGAAGCACACUUCGAUUUGUUCACAAAUCUUGACAAAGGAAAGGAAGGUCGAUUUUUCUAGCGACAGUAUGGGUCUAUACCAUUUGGUUGCUGUGGAAAUGACGUAACGAGAGCAGAUUUGAGGGCAAGACUUGGGAGAUCAAUGACGUGAUCGAAGAAGUGAAAGUGAGGAUGUGGAGUUGGAACAAGAUUUUUGGACUACAUGUUAAAGAGAUUAGCUCUCAAUCUUGGUUUUCUUGUGAAACUCCUCUUGUUUUGUGUAAUUUGGUCGUAUCUCUGGUACCAAACUCUCUCCUAAUAAAAUUUCUUUUCUGAUUAAAAAAAAAAAAAAGAGUCCCUCUCUUAAUCAAGUAGACUGGAUGCGGUAAGAGAGAAAUCACUUCCAACUUAUCGAUUUUACUAGCAACAACUAGAUUUAUACUGAAGCUAAAUUGGAUCAGACUCUAGGAUUCACUAGUCUUUUACUCAAGGUGAGUCGGUUUACGAGUCUCAAACUCAAGGUGAACUAGAAUGUCUGUCAAUACGAACGUUGGGAGUUCGAGGGUUUUUUAGGACAGUAACUUAGAUUGAUUUGGAAAUUAGGACAAUAACUUUCGGACUUGUAAAAAUAGGACUCUAAUUCUUUUUAAGAGUAAAAUAGGACACUAAUUAAUAAGUGUUACAUCCGCAGGACAUUUUUCGGCCAAUUAUCGGCCGAGAAAUGUCCUACUUUUACGACGCUUAUUAAUUAGUGUCCUAUUUUUACAAAUUCGAAAGUUUUGUCUUAAUUUUCAAAUCAACAUAAGUUAUUGUCCUAAAAAAUCCCCUGACUCCGAACGUUGGAACAAGCUCGGCAAUAUACUGCUAUUCAACAUUAAUGGCACUUUGCACUAAAUGAAUUGGUGUCGAAUUAAUACAUCGUCUUGCUGCUCAUAUCUAUAUAAUAAAUGCAUACCUGCACCUCGAUAUUAAUCAAUUUAGAUACACUAAAUCUCGGAUAUACUUAACAAAUGGAUUAAUAAAUGUAUAAAUUUUAGAUUUCAGAAAAUCAAAUACAGGUGUUCAUAAGGAAAUGAUUAAAAACCCGUGUGUCAUUUAGAUAAGAUUAUUAUAGUACAGUUAACGAUGGUGAAAUAUUCUUUUACAUUAGAUAUAAUAGCAUUCCAGAUCUCAAUGGCAUUUUUUGUUAUAACAAAAAAAAAUUGUAUAUGUUCCAUACUAUCCUCAAACUUCAAAUUAUUAUUUUUCUUUAUUUUAAAAUUUGUAUUGGCACAUAUCUGUCAAUUAAUCAAAUUCAUAUCAAAACAAUAAUUCGAAUGAUAUAUUAGUUGGCUAGCUAUAAAUUACAAAUUAUUAGUGAUUAGGCAUGUUUUACACAAAUUAUUAGCCCAAACAACAUUUGAUUGUGUGCAAUGCACACACUUACUAAAAGCAGAUGUGAUCAUCUGUCCCACAAUUUAGUGUGUAUCACCGUGUACCAUUCUUAAUUUGUCUAUUUUAUAAUUAUUUGUUGUAAAAAUAAAAAAAAUAUUGUUAUAUUAUGAACUCUAAUUAAAAUUUAUAACUAAAAAUAAAAAUUAAAAAAAAUUAUAUACCCUAACUUUGAAUUAAUUAACCCAAAUAAUCAAUUAUUAAUUCAAAUAAAUAUAAAAAAUAAUUAUAAACUCUAAUUGAAUGAGUGAACCCUUAUUAAUUAGUUUCUUAUUAUAUUAUAAUAAAUUAAAAUUGAAGAAAAUAUAAUUAUAUAUUAUAAUAAAUUAAGAGUGGUACACGGUGGUACACACUAAAUUGUGGGACAGAUCCAUGUGCACUAAAUUAUAGGUACGGAGGUGCGGAUGCGGGGGCGAUACGAUACGAGUACGGGGAUACGGGUUCUAAAAAAUUAUAGGGUGCGAUUCGGCAAGGAUACAUCUAAUUAUUAAAAUUUUAUGAUAUACUAAUUGUUAGAAAUGGAUAUUGGGCCAAUUCCUCCCUUAAAAGGCCUUAUAAGGGAGAGGGUUACCUCACCAUAUAAAGUGGCUCAUGCCACUAUCUCCAAUCCAAUGUGGGACACUUCAAUACUAAUGCUUAUAAAAUAUAUACAAUUUAAAUUUUCUUAAAUUAAUUAUAUGUAAUUUACAUUUUAUUUUACCCAAAAGUUAAGCAUUUUCAAUUAUAUAAGUUAAUUGAGCAACAAUAUAACGAUUCAAAUAUUAUUAGUCCAAUAUAUAAGUCAUAACUGAAAAUAAAAUUAUCAAAAUAACCUUGUGUAGGCCUUUCGUGCACGAGAUACGUGAAUUUCGCCUAUGGAAUUUGCAAAUCCGGUUUAUUUUUAUAAAUUGUUUUAAAAGAUACGCACUGGUGAAUCGGUGCGAAUCCGACAAGAAUUCGAGAAAUCACACCCUAAAAGAAUCCGAUUCGCCGUACAUCUAAUUUUUGAAGAAUCCGUGCAUCAUAGGUGAGAAGAAACACAAGAGAGUAAAAUGGUACAUAAUGUAGAAAGACUUUUCUCCAAAAUAAAUGUUACAGUCUUCUAAUAGUCGAAAGGCGCAUGAAAAUGCGCAGUUAUUCGAAAGAAAGGAAAGGCUUAUUCAGCCACACAAUGACAUGGAAUUCGAAUUGAAAUUGAAAUUCAGACAAAUCCCAAACACGGUGAUGCAGAGAUCAAGCGGUAACACGAGGAAUGAUCUUAAUACCACCGAUGGUAACUUCGUCGCCGUUAAUGUGGGGAACGAUGGUGACGACAAUGAAAUCAUCAUCAGCAAUAUUGAUGUUCUCAUAGAGCUCCCUCAAGUUCAAGCGAAGGUCGUUGGCGCUUUCCGCAGCCCUAACCCUAUGCGGAAUCUGCGUGAAACUGCCGGCGAACUCGGCCCUGGCGAGGUCCUCUGGCUUGUCGUCUUCGUCAUUCACGAACACAUCGAACCUCACGAGCUUCGAACUAUCGGUGAUUAUGUUCUCCAGCACGAGCACUUCGUCGGCUUUGCCUUUGGUUGGUUUGGGCACCAAAACCCUGUGAGUCUUGUUGAGAGUGAGAGGGAACAGAUUGUCUCCACUCUCUGCCCUCUUGGAGAGAUCUUCGAUAUUCACCGGCACCUCCCUCCGCGGUGGCCGGUAGGCUGUCCACGGAGUUUCGCUGUGUUCAUACACGUAUCCCAUUUUGGUGUGGUCCAAGCAGUCGGCCACCUUGACGCGCACGAGGUUCUUCUUCUCGUCGUAGAACAUGAACGCCGCGUUGUUGAAAUCGUCGGGGUUGGGGACGACGAGGUCGUUGAUAUCCUUGGGGAAAACGGAUGGGAUAGUUUUCCAUAUGGUCCACAUUCUGUCGACGUUAGCGUGAUGUGCGUAGAAGAGAGGGUCUCUUCCGGCGGAGUAGAAGUUCCCCAUGUCUUCGCGGAAAUCGUUGGCGGGGUUUCCGGUCCAGACGUGGACGCCGCCGUGUGAGCCGCCCUCCGACAAUCCUCCCUUGGCGCGUGGCGGGGGCAAGUCCCCGGAAACGUAAGGAUCGCCCAUGAAGUCGAUGGCGGAUUCGACAUCACCAAUCAUUUCCUUGUACAUCUGAGUGAGAUUGUUUUCGAUGAUCGUUACAGGAUCGGUGAUCGGGGGGGUGGUUAUGGCAAGAGCAACGAGGGCCGGGGGGCGAUGCGUUGGGUCGCGGUUGACGUCGUAGAGCGGGGAUUCUUCCCUGUCGAACGGCCUGGGCAUCUGCAUACCCCUAGGGUUGUCCCAGUUCCAGUAGGGCAGGGCGAAAUCGGGAUCUCCGAUGAGUUCGCCCAUGAUCCUCUCGAAGAAAUAGAGGUACCACCUGUGGAAGGGGUGGAUCCAGAAUUUGUCAUUAGGAGGGACUAAAUUUGUUGAAGCAUGACGUCUCAAAUUAUUAGCCAAUUUUUUUUAGCAUUCCAUACAGUUCAUUUUUUUGUCGAACUACAUUCGAUUAAUUCAACAACAAGAACAUUGAAAGCAUAUAAAUACUUACCUCUCAAAAAUUGUUUCAUCUUCUAAGAAGAUAAGCUAAUUUUCAUCAUGGCAGUUCAUAAUUUUAAUUUAACUUGAGGAUUGACUCAAAUUCAACACUGAGAAUCAACUAAGAAAGGAAAGUAGACAAAAAUAACAUAAAUUUAACAAACUAACAUAUCAAAUUUAAAUCACUAUAAAAUAUUAAACAGUUAAAACGUGGAUACUAUAAUUAAUAAAACAAUGUAUUUUAUUAUCUCUUGUAUUUCUUAUCUAUACUAAUAGAAAAAGAGUCUAAGACAGUCUAAGGCACAACUUGUGGAUUGCCUAUUUUACCCUUAUUAUAUAUUUAUUAUUAUAUUUACAAAAUAUAAAUCUAUUUUGAUAAAUAUUUAUUUGUCACUCAAAUCUAUAAAGAAUACUUUAUAUCUAUAGCUAUUGAUAAGGCUUAUAAAUAAAUAUAUUCAUCCACAACGUACGUUCUUUCUGCUAGUAUAUAAUAAAAACAAAAACAAAAAACUCAAAAUUUGGGAGGCGGUCGAUCCGCUGCUAACCUGUGGAAAGGGAAGAAGAUCCAUGAGUUGUGAACCUGGAUAUCGAUGCCGGGGUGGUCCACCUGGUCGUAGGGGCCGUUGCAGUAAGCGCAGUGGAUGUUGGCCUGCUGAGUGAAGCCACGGGGAUCGUCGGGGUCCGUCACGUCCAGUUCCUUCAUCUUCUGGAUGGCCAACUCAUACUUGCGUACGUAUUCCGGUGUCAGCCUGUGCGCCGCCGGCCUAACGCGAGGUUUAGUGAACCUCGGAAGCUUGUAGUCGCUCUGAACGUCGGUGUAGGGCGGGCAGCAGUUGACGUCUAGAGAUAUUACCUCUUGGUUUCGAGUGGUGUAGGCACCUUCGGGGUCGCAGGUGCUCAGGUCAGGAGGCAAAAUCGGAAGCGCCUCAGCUUUGCGGAUGGCGCUGCCUGCGCCGUAUAGACCGCCCAGCCCAAGCAGCAUGUUUCUGCGGUCUAUACGGCCGCUGCCACCGCCACCGCUGCUGCAUGACACCUGAAAGCGGCCGUGGCUCCGCCGGCUGCUGAGCUGGGAGGGCUUGCGAAAUGGGGAGUUGGUGGCGGCGGCGAUCGCCGUGAAUGAAGAUUGAAGGGAAGCCAUGUUUGAGUGAUUGAUUGAUGGUCGUUGUGAUUACCUGGGGAGGCAUGUCUUUAUAUAGCAGAUGUGACACGAGUUUUAAGAAAAAUAAAUUAUCCGUUGAAUAAUUAAAUCGCCAUGUUUCUAUAAUUUAUUCCUAAUGGAUCUAGUCAAACUAAUCGUGCAAUAUUUAAUAAACCACGCAGCAUCAUUUCCGAGACUAAUAAAUGACAUUUUGAACCAGCUAAUCAAUUCCAUAUAAUUAACCAUUUGCGAGGCUGGCUGCCCUUCACUAAAUGGUUGUAUGCACUUGUCUUUGGAAAAGCUGUUUGGCCAUAUUAUGGCCAGUCAUAAUAUGGGAAAAUAUUAUAAAAGUCAUGUAUUUAAUUUUUUAUAUUUAAAAUAAAAAUAGGAUUUUAUUAGUUUUAUUUUUUAUUACAUAUUUUAGCUAUUUUUUUUUAUAAUUUUUCUGAAUUUUUUAGAAAAAUAAAAAAUAAAAUUACAAUGUGAACAAAAUUAUAAAACUAAUAAUGGUAGAGCAGCGGAGGGCACAGGUGAAGGGCAUGGCGGCGGUGUACUUAUUUUAGUCAAGUAAUUAUUAUUGCACGAAAAAAUAAUUAUUAAUAUAAAGAAAGAUAAUGUUUCAAAGACAUUAUCUUUCUUCAUGUCUAUUAAUUUUUCAUCACAAUAAUAAUUACUUCGAAUUAUCCGUGUUUUCAAUCGUGCGACCUGCACCCAGCCCGACCCGACCCGUUUCACCCAUAUAGUCAGUCUCACCCAAGUUUUUGCCUAAAGAUAAGUAUUAAUUAGUUGUGUAUGGUGAUAUGAGUCUUGUUUGUAUAAAUUAGUAGGCCUUUAAUAAUGAAUUGGCCCAUCUCAGGUGGUUUAUAUAAUUUACUCGUAUGGAUCUAAAUACAACUAAUCAUGAAAUAUUUAAUAUACCACGGAGCAUCUUUCUGAUAUACUAUUUAUAUAGUAAUUUAUUCCUAAUGGAUCUAAUCUCUGACUAUUUAAUAAUUAACUCGCCAUCGUUUAAAUAAUUUACUCCUUAUGGAUACACUCAAAGUAAUCGUGCAAUAUUUAAUAUACCACGCAGCAUCAUUUCUCAUACAAUAUUUUGGACCAUCUAACCAAUUACAUAUAAUUAAACCUUUUGCCAGGGUGGCUGUCCCUUCCACUAUAUGGUUGCAUGUAUUGAAUUGAAAUUUUAUUGAGGAAAAAAUGAAAAGAAAAACUAGGAAUUCAUUGAUAGCACGAAGACGCUAAUUAAGGGCUGAGCCUCAUCAAAACCUUUCCGAUAAAAAUCCAGUGAAAAAAACCACCAGCAAAGGAAAAAGAGUACCAGUCUAUUACAAUAAAAAAAUGAAGAACAAACUCAAGACAGGAACAACGAGAAGCACGAGAGGAUGAUAAAACAUCUAACCCGAAAAAAAAGACCCAAACCAAAGGAGCCUGACAAAUCCGGAGCCAGUACCAGCGCACCAGGAAACUGAAAAAGUUCUGGAGAAGCCACUUCGACCCAAGCACGCCAACCAUCCAAAAGAAACGACUACCACACCCACACCUAGGCCAAGAAAUAUAUAAUAUUGUGAAUAGUUCCCAUGGGAUCGAAACAGACCACCAAAACAAGAAAAAACCUCUAAGAGCAGACUACUCAUUGCCUGCCUGCCUAGUAUUCGAUGAAAUACCCAAACCAGAAAUCAUAGCAUAAAGCAAAAACCGCCACAGCUGGGGAGCGAAGAGCAGAAGGCCACCAAUAAGAUACAUUAGGAUUGCGCAAAGUCUGACAAAGAAAUCAGAAAACUUACCAGACCACUCUAGUUAAUGUAAUCUAUACAUGUCCGCACAUGAAAUUUGGUCAAGUUAGAUACACUAAUCUCAAAUCUAUUUAAUUAACAAAUUGAUUGAUUGAUAUUUUUUUCUGAGAGAAAUUGAUUGAAUAAUUUUUAGACUUCAAAAACUAAUAGUUAAUUGAUUGUUUAGAUAAGAUUAUUAUUACACUUUUAUAUAGAGAUAAUUAGUACUUGAGAUAUGUGCAAUUUACGCAUUCUUCUCUCGAGACAAAAUAAAUAUUAUUGACCAUUGAGAACUCUGCUACCACUACUCCAGUUCUAUUUAUUAUCAGUGUGCCCUCUCGCGCGCUGCACGGGUCACAACAUAUUUGAUUAUUUAAUUUUAGCUGUUUACGCAUACUUCGCUCGAGACAAAAAUAAAAUAAGAUUUAUUGAUCAUUGAGAACUCAGUACCACACCAUACUCGUGUAUACUAUAAUAUUUAUCAUUGUUUAUGAUUAUUACGUGUCUUCGCCGAUAAAUUUAAUAUUCAUUCCUUUAAUUUUUUUCUAUUGACAUUGGAAACUGUCUUGAUUCUUUUUUGGCCAUAUCAUAUAUUUAAAAAAUUGGGAGGGGAACGUGGAAGUUGAAUCUGAAAUAAGAAUCAAAUGAUACAUGUGUACUUUCAAAGAUAAAACGCAAAAUAUAUCAUUUUUUUGUAAAACAUAUAAAUUCUACUAUUUAUGAUUAUUUUAAAUUUAUAUAAUCUAUAUUUGUAUGUAUAUAUAUUCUCCAUUUGUUCAUGAAAAAGAGUCUCAUUGUAUGCUGAAUACGAGUUUUAAUAAAAUGGUUGUAAGUGUGAAAUAAAUGUAUAAUUUGUAAGAGUCUUUACAUUAGAUUAUAUUUUACUCUCUUCGUCCUAUUGAUAAUGACUCACUUUUCUUUUUCGUCUGUCUCAUUGAUAAUUGCAUGUUCCAAAAAAACUGAAACCAUUUGACCUCACAAAAUGUUGUGGGCUCCACUACUUUUUAUCACUUUUAUCCUUUAAUUACUAUUCUUAUUAAUAACCGUGUCGAACAGUAAUGAACUAUUAUCAAUGGGAGGGAGGGAGUAAUAUUUUAAUUUUGUUUGCUGCCACCACCACCACCACCACCACAAUUUAAAAAAAAAAAUCUACGUGAAUAUAGUAAUUAUUAGAACAAAAAAAUAACUAUAAUAAUAAUAUAUUAAUCCGUUAAUUAUCUAUACUAAUAUAAAAAGUGCAUUUGGCACAAAAUAUAUAUUGCCUGUUAUAUCCCUAUUAUAGUAUUUUAUUUGAAGGACAACUUUGUAAAUUAUAUAUUAUAUAUUUAUAAGAAUAUAUUAUUUCAUUAGAUAUUACACUAAAUAUAUUUGAUAUAUAUCUAGAUCUUAUGCUAUAAUUUUUUUUAUAUUAAUUAAUUAUUAUAUAUUGUGAUUUAAUAGAAUUAUACAACUCUAAUAAUUUAUAAAUGUAAAGUUCAGGGAUUGCAUGCAAUGCACACAUUCUAUGCUAGAAAAAAAAUAGAAUUCACUAAGCCGAUGAUAAAUAACACAUACAACGUACUAUUUCUGCUAGUAAAUUAAAAAUCUAUAUGAUUUUAUCUUCUAUCACUACAUUAAUUAAAAUCUAUCUUCCGUUUCAUAUUAACGGUGGUUUUUCAAUAUUUUUUAUAUUAAUUACUACAUAUUGUGAAUUUAUUACAAUUGUUAACCUCUAACAAUUCAUUAAUAUAAAGUUGAUGGAUUGUGUGUCAUGCACAAACUCUCCUGUACUCAUCUAAAAGACUCUAUAUGUGAGAAGAAACCGCAGGAGAGUAAAAUGGUACAUAACAUAGAAUAGAAAGACUUUCACAAAAUAAAUGUUACAUUCUUCCCGUAGUCGGAAGGAGCAUGAAAAUGCGCGGUUAUUCGCAAGAAAGAAAGGCUCACUCAGCCACACAAAACAUGGAAAUCCUAAACACGGUGAUGCAGAGAUCAAGCGGUAACACGCGGGAUGAUCUUAAUACCACCGAUGGUAACAUCGUCGCCAUUAAUGUGGGGAACGAUAGUGACGACAAUGAAAUCAUCAUCAGCAAUAUUAAUGUUCUCAUAGAGUUCCUUCAGGUUCAAGUGAAGGUCGUUGGAGCUUUCCGUGGCCCUAACCCUGUGCGGAAUCUGCGUGAAGCACCCGGCGUACUCGGCCCUAUCGAGCUUCUGUGGCGUGUCGUCUGCAUCAUUCACGAACACAUCGAACCUCACGAGCUUCAAGCUAUCGCAGAUUAUGUCCUCCAGCACCAGCACUUCGUCGGCUUUGCCUUUGGUUGGUUUGGGCACCACAACCCUAUGAGGCUUAUUGAGAGUGAGAGGGAACACAUUGUCUCCGGUCUCCGCCGUCUUGGCGAGAUCUUCGGUAUUGACCGGUUCCGGCCGCUGAGGUGGCCGGCAGGUCAUCCAUGGUGUAUGGCUAUAUUCAUACUCGUAUCCCAUUUUUGUGUGGUCCAAGCAGUCGGCGACCUUAACGCGCACCAGCUUCCUCUUCUCGUUGUAGAACAUGAAGGAGGCGUUGUUGAAGUCGUCGGGGUUGGGGACGACGAGCUCGUUGAUAUCCUUCGGGAAAACGGAUGGGAUCGUUUUCCAUAUAGUCCACAUUCUGUCGACGUUAGCGUGAUGUGCGUAGAAGAGAGGGUCUCUUCCGGCGGAGUAGAAGUUCCCCAUGUCUUCGCGGAAAUUGUUGGCGGGGUUUCCGGUCCAGACAGCCGCCCUCCGACAAUCCUCCCUUGGAGCGUGGCGGGGGCAAGUCUCCGUCAACGUAAGGCUCGCCCAUGAAGUUGGUAGCGGAUUCGACAUCACCAACCAUUUCCUUGUACAGCUGAUUGAGGUUGUUGGAGAUGAUCUGUACGGGAUCGGUGAUCGGGGGGUUGGUUAGGGCAAGAGAAACGAUGGCCGGGGGCCGAUGCGUCGGGUCGCGGUUGACGUCGUAGAGUGGCGACGCGUCCCUGUCGAACAUCGAGGGCAUCUGCAUGCCCCUAGGGUUGUCCCAGUUCCAGUAGGGCAGGGCGAAAUCGAGAUCUCCGAUGAAUUCGCCCAUGAUUCUCUCGAAGAAAUAGAGGUACCACCUGUGUAGGGAUGAAUCCAGAAUUUGUCGUUAGGGGGGCUAAAUCUAAAAGUAUUUGCAGUGGGGGCUCCCGUCCGCAAGACAAUUUUUUUUAACCAUUCCGUAUAGAUUUAAUUGGCUUAACAUUAGAAAUCAGUCACUUACUAUAAAAAAUAGUUGUUCGCAUUCCAUUAAUUCAACAACAAGUACAUUUAAAGCAUAUACAAACCUACCUCUGUGCAAUUUUUUAAAAUAUUAUUUCGACUUCUAAAAGAAUAAACUAAUUUUCAUUGUUAAUUAAUAGUUCAAAAUUUUAGUUUAUCUUGAAGAUUAACUCAAAUUAAAUAUUCAAUAUUACCUAAUUAAACAAAAAUGAGACAAAAAUAACACAAAUUUUUAACAAACUAACCUAGCAAAUCACUGUAAAAUGUUAAGCAAUUCUUUCUUGUAUUUCUUCUAUAUAUUAAAAACAAAAAAAUUAGGGAGGGGGCUUCAGCCCCCGUGGAUCCGCCACUAACCUGUGGAAGGGGAAGAAGAUCCAUGAGUUGUGAACCUGGAUAUCGAUGCCGGGGUGGUCCACCUGGUCGUAGGGGCCGUUGCAGUAAGCGCAGUGGACGUUGGCCUGCUGAGUGAAGCCGCGGGGAUCGUUGGGGUCCGUCACGUCCAGAUCCUUCAUCAUCUGGAUGGCUUUCUCGUACUUGGCUAUGUAUUCCGGUGUCAGCCUGUGCGCCGCCGGCCUCCUGCGAAGCUUUGUGAACGUCGGAAGCGUGUACUCUUCCUCGUCGUCCGUGUAGGGCGGGCAGCAGUUGGCGUCUAGAGAUAUUAUCUCCCCGUUUCUAGAAGUAUAGGCACCUUUGGGAUCACACUUGCUCAGGUCAGGAGGUGAAAUCGGAACCGCCUCAGCUUUGCGGAUGAGGCCGCUUGCGCCGUAUAGACCACCCAGACCAAGCAGCAUGUUUCUGCGGUCUACACGGCCGCCGCCGCCUCCAUCACUGCUGCACGACACCUCAAAGCGGCGCCUCCGCCUGCUGGCGAGCUGGGAGGUGGUGCGGAGGUUGGGGUUGGUCGUGGUCGCCAUCACCAUGAAUGAAGAUUGAAGGGAAGCCAUGCUUGAUUGAUUGAUGCUUGCAUUGCGCUCGAGGCAUGCAUGUCUAUAUAUAGUAGGCGUGGACACGAGUUUUAAGAAAAAUAAUGAUACUUAAUGGGAUUAUUUUCGAAAAUGAAUUAGGAAGAUGUUUUGGAGACGAAAAUAGAAAAUUGACCUUUUGCCAGGCUGCCCUUUCACUAAAUGGUUGUAUGCACUUAUCUUUUUUUUAUCUAUAAAGAGGUAUUUUCUCCAUUUAAAAAACUUAUCGAGGUAAUUAUGAAGACUAUUCAUUUUUAUCGUUGUAAAGUUAAUUAAAUUAUAAAAAUUAAAGUUGAUAAAGUUCUUAUUAAACAUCAUCGCUCUUCUGUCUUUGGACGACAAAAUUAAUUAUUUCAAAUAGAUAAAGAACUUGAUUUUCCGAUAUGGCUUCUCAUACUAAUUAAAUAAUCUAAUCCUAUAAUGUAUUUCAUAUAAAGUUAUCAAAUUAACAAUAUUCUGUGUGAAUUUUUUUGCCUUGAGUGUGUGUAUAGAGGUAGUCAGGGCCGGCCCUGAGGGUGGGCGGGCAUGGGCGACGGCCCAGGGCCCCAAAAAUUUGAGGGCCCAAAAUUUUUAAUAUAUCCUAUUAAUUAUAGAUCUUAUGUAUACUAACAACAUAGUUCAUCUAUUGAUUUUGGGCCCAACAUAAUUUAUUCUCAAAUUUAGAUCUAUACUUAAUAUAGAGAGUUUUCAAUUUGAAAUCAAUUUCAAAGUAAUUUCAAAAUUGAGUGACUAUUUUGUAGUUAUAAUAUUAAUAAAAUUGAAGGUUUAUGUUUAAACUAUAUAUUUUUAUUUUUAUUUUUAUUUUCAUUUUCAUUUUCUUUAACUUCUUAUUUGUUGUUACAUUUCUUUCCAAAAUUGUGAAAUUCAAUUAAUUAUAAAAUAUUUAAUAUGCAUAUCAAAUUAAAGAUCACAAUAAGAGUUUUAAUAUGAUAUAUUUUAUGAAAAAUAUUUGAUUUAAAAUGUAAAAUUUAUGCAUGUUCAAAUAUUAAAGUUUUAUAAAUUUCUCUCACCUCUCUCAUCUUUACGAAUAAAUAUAUUUUUAAUUCUUUUAAAUUAGUAUUUUAUUUUUAAUUUUUUUAACUUAUUUUUUUGUUUUUGUAUUUCAUAAUAUCAAAUUUUAUAAUUGUGAAUUCUUUUUUUAUUUUUUUUAAUAUUCAAUUCAAAUAUAUAUAAUUAAAAUUAAUUUUUUAUUAUAUUUAUAAGUAUAAUAAUUAAAUUAGUAUUAAUUUUAUAUAAAUAGUAAAAACAAAAAAUAUUUCCCGUGCAUGAGAUGCAAAUGGUAGUUGCACCUCGCCGCCGGUAAUAUAUUUAAGUAUAUAAAUUAAUUAAUAUUAACAAGGCGCCCGGUGAUCACCGGAGGCAUCCUUGCCGCUGGUAUUUCUGCCGCUACUUUGAAAAAUACGGCCGUCGGUAAAUCUGGCCGCAAAUUGUGUACGUUUUUUGGUAGUGGUAAUAUAUUAGGGCCCAAUUUUUUAAUUUCGCCCAGGGCCUCAGUUUUGUCAGGACCGGCCCUGGAGGUAGUUAUAGAAUUUAUCUUUUGUGUUCUCAAAGGAACUUAAUUAAGAUCCAAUGUGAUUGAUACAUUUCGACUAAAUGGAUGGGCAAGAUUCUUUUAACGCCCAAUAUUAAUUCCAUCUCAAAUCGGAUCUUAUAUAAUACUGUAUUUUAUAUAUUCUAUAAUGCAUUUUAUAUAUUACGUGUCUAUUAAAUUAACAUUGAUCUUAGGAGUGAUACAAGUUUAAAAAAAAGCUAGCUGUAUAUUUGGUGAGUAGAGAAGGGAUUUCAGAAAUUAGAAAAAAUGGUGAUAGGUAGUGGAAUUAUUUUAAAAAAUGGACUAAAAAGAUGUUUCAUGAACGAACGAAAAUGGCAAAAUAGGAAGAUGAGUCGUGGUCGGAGGAAAUAUUAUAAUGCAUCGUAUCCUUUUUUGGUUCGUAUAAAGAUUUUUAUUUGAUCCUCAUCGAGAACAUGCAUAUUGCGAAUACUUAAUUUAUUUCAAUAUAUAUAUAUUAAUUUAUUGGGAGCAUAUGCUAAAUAAAUUAAAUUAAUCCGAAUCAAAAGCGCUUAAUUAUCACUACAUUACAUGCAUUAUGACAAAAAGCCUGCGGCUAAAGAUCUUCAGUUUAAGUCUAUUGUCAUAUUGUUUUUAAAAUAUUAUUUAUCCAUUCCGCAUAUGGAUUGGUCAGAUUUAGAUACACAAAUCUCAAAUGUAUUUAAUUAACAAAUUGAUUGAUAAAUUUUAGAAUUCAAAAAUUAAAUCAAUCAAAUACGCGUGUCCACAGUCAAUGGAUUGAAAAUAUGCAGGUAUCUAGAUAAGAUAUAUUAUUAUUAUUAUUACACUGUUAACUAUACUGCAGUACACUUUUAUAUAUACAGACAUAAUUAAAAUAUGCAGGUAUCUAGAUAAUAAGAUUAUUAUUACACUAUUAACUAUACUGCAGUACACUUUUAUAUAGAGAUAAUUACUAGAGAUAUGUGCUAUUACCCAUACUUCGCUCGAGACAGAAAUAAAUACGAUUGACCAUUCAAUUAAACACUACGACACCAUACUCGUGCAUGUACUAACGAUCUUAUUAUAAGUGCACCUUCCCGUGCGAUGCACAGGUCAGUAGAAUUGUAAUCGAUAUUGAUGUGAAUAUCAUCAUAUUCGAUUCGUAUUUGUGAAAAUACUCUAAUAUUUGAUUCAGCAUUCGAUUCGAUCACGAAUACUAAAUACGAUCCCAUAUUCGAUUCGAUGUUAUUUUUGAAUUAUUUGAUACAUUUUUUAAAAUUAAUUAAAUAAUUUUUUUACGAAUAUUCGAUUCGUUUUCCAUCAUAUUCAAUUCAAAACUAUUCGAUUUGAAAUUCUGAAGGAAAAAAUAUGUUAAAUAAUAUUCUAAAAAAUAUAGGAUUAUAUCCAAUAUAUUUACCUAAUAAUUAAACACACAAUAAUAAAGUGUUCAAUUCAUAUUGUUUUAUGUCCCGUGGUUUGUUUCUAGGAUUGUGGUAAUAAAGACUGAUUGGAUCAGUCUAGUACAGUUGUUGUUUGAAUUUGUAAUUUUGUGUAACGGCAUUGUCAUCUUGUUGAGAUUAAUAGGAGUUAAUUUGUUUAAUUAAUUAUUCAUGAGUUUCUUAUAAGAUACCUUCCUUCGUUCCGUAAAAAUAGUCAUAAUUUUUCAUUUUAGAACGUCCAUAAAAAAAUAGUGUUAUUCCAUUUAUAAACAAUUUAGAUCCUUACCUUUGGGAUGAGAUAAAAUGAAAUUCCAUUUUAAAUCAUAAACUAGCUAUAUAGGAAGCAUUUUCAGCUCUUGAAUUCAUCUGUUGUUCGAAUUUCAUAGGAAGCAAGUUUUUUUGACUCAUUAUUUUCACAGCGAAUUCAUCAUGUUACACAUACCCUAAAGUGAUAUAUUUACCCUAUUUGAUAACAUGAUAAGUAUAUUUGAAGCGCUCACUAUUUUAUUUGAACUUUAUUAUCGAGUUUAAACGAGUUUUGAAAUAUUGAAUUAAAUUGAAAUAUCCAUGUUGAUCGUUUAAGAAGCAAAUUUUUGGCAUGGGUUUAUAAAAAAUACAUCCUAGCCUCCAUCCCUAAUAAGUGCGGUGUGAAGGAGUGGGCAAUAGUUCUUUAAAAAUAAUUGAGAGAUGUGUAUAAAGUGGAUAAAAUGGCUUACUAGAGCUGAUUUGUUAGGCCUUACUUUCUCUCUGCCCCACUAAAAUAAGCUCAAUUCUUUUGAGAACAUAGAUUAAUAAACUUUCUUUUGAGAAGAAAAUUAAAGUGGUGGCAAAAGUAAUGUGGUCCAUACCAAUUAAGCAAUUUGAGUACAUUUUUUUUUUCACUCAAAAGGAAAACGAGCCUAUUCUAGCGGGACAUUCCAAAAUAGAAAACGAGCAUAUUCUGCUGGGACGAGGGAAUAAUAAAUUGUUUGUGAGAUGAGUAGUUUGUAAAUAUUGUGUGUGAAAGGUGUAUGUCUUAAAUUGAAAAGACCAUACCUGUAUUGUGAUUGUACGGAAAGGUGGAACUGAGCAUCGCGGCGGCGGCGAGGCAGGAGGCGGCGGUGGUGAGGAGAAUCGAGAGAGAGAGAGAAAGAUGCCAGCAGACAGUGACGGAGGGCAGUGGGCGGCCCUUGGCGGCAGCGGAGACGACAAGGUACUGGCUGUGCCAGAAUUAUUUAGUUGCAUAGGAUCCUUCCAAAUGUAAUUACUGAUUCACUGUUGGAUUAACAAGAAUUAAAUUACUUCAUAAUACAGUAUUCCAACUGUUCGAUAAAAGCCCUUAAUGAAAUCUUCCAUAGAUUACUUUGCAAAGUUCAUAAAAUUACUCAAAAGCAUUGUUGCAUAGUCCGUACAUAGAGAUGGUCGAUUAUCUUAAUUAUGUCUAGAUUUAUUUACGACACACACACACACACAUCACAAAAUCACACAUACUGACUAAUAAGGUUCCCGAAAGCCGGCAUUAUUAGGCGCCAUGGUGGCCGUGAAAUACCAUGAGACGAUAUCAUGGGUGGUGGGUCCGUCUAGUCUGGUGGCGGCGGAGAGCCCUACCUGAACCUGCUAAGGAAGAAAGCCGCUCAAAUCAUACUCAUAGCUGACUUCAAACGUCUUCGAGCCGGCGGUGGCACGGACGGCGAUCUACUUUGUGGAGGCGGCGUAGUUGAUCCUCGCCGUCACCUGCUGCUCGAGUAUGGAGCCGUCGACCUCCGUCGUGUUUCGGGAUGACCUAGACCCGAUGUCGAUGCCGAUGUGGGGAUAGUUCGGAUCCCACGCGCUGUUGACGUAGGUGUCGAACUCGACGGCAAAUACCGAGGGGUUGCUGCCGGAGGAGCCGAAGAUUCCGAGGUUGGCCCCGCUGGAGCCGGUGGGGAUGGUGGAGCGGCGAGAUUGGUGAUGCUGGGUGUGGUGAUGAAGUUUACGGUGGUUUCAAAGUCGACUUGGCCACCGGCUUGGGAGAAUUGGACCGGGUUCGUGUACAAGACCCGGCCGACACUACCGAUCUGCGGUCGCCUUGGUAGGUGAGGUCGGUCGGCUGGUUGUCCCAGAAGUUAUAGGCGAAGGCCGUUGAUCGGGACUUCGCCCUGUUGGUGGCGACGGCGAGAAGAAGGGCGAUGGAGAUUAGGGUUUGGAGAAGGUUGGCCAUGGCUUAGUUGUGCAGUGAAUGAUGUCUACUACUUGCUCCUAUUUAUAAUGAUCGAAAAUAUCUACUACUUACCUACCACAGAUCCACAUCAGGGGCCCUGGAUGGGGUGGUCGACUACAUAAGCCCAAAAAAAUAAGGGCUCGGAAAAUAUAUAGAUCCAUGUAAGUAUUAUAUAUAUGUAUAAAAUAAUUAAAAGCCAACUAAUGAUUGAAUUGAUUAACUUGGCGCAGUGGAAAAAGGACAUUUUUAAUUCCUCUUAAUUACCAAUAUUUUAUUUAGUGACCAAUUUUUUUGUUUAGAUAUAGGGCCCAGCCCCUAUUUUGAUAAAUUAAGUGUAUGUAUUUCAAAUUAACAUUAUUUUAAGUUGUCGAAUUUUUUUGUUAAGAUUUAGGGUCCAGCCCCUAUUUUGUUAAAUUAACUUUAUUUUAAGUGAAUGACAUAAUUAUUAAUAUAUUUAUUAAUUAUUAUGUAAUUUGAUAAAAAAAUGUUUUAAAUAAUUUUAGUUUAUAAUUAAUUUAUUUCUCAAUUAUAAAUAAAUGGCCUAAAUUAAAAAAUUCGCAAAGGGCCUAUGUUCUCUUAGCCCUACCCUUGCACUGUUGCACAUGGUAUAUAUAUCUAUUCUAUGAAUAUAAGUGAUUAUUUUAUAAACCACGUGAAAGCACUUGUUCCCACUAGCACUAUAAAAGCAAUAAAUACAACGGAAAGAAAAUAAAUUACAAUUGAAUACAUUAGGAGAAAAAUUACUUCUAACCUAUGGAAUUACUAACAACGAUACUUAUACCAAAGCUAAAUUGGACCAACUAACUGUACACUCUUGUAUUAUAUCAACCUACCAGACCUUAGUAUUCACGAGUCUCCCACAGUCUAGACUGAUUCACAAUAUAUACCAACAUUGGAACAAGUUCAGUAAUACACUCUAUUUAUAUAUAUUAUUAUAUACACAAAAAUGCAUGGCUGCUGUGGUAUUACGGAAGGAUCGAGAAUUACUCGAUCCUUGGGAAAAGGUUCAAAUGAAACCUUUAUUAUUACUCUCCGUCCCCCAAAUAAUAUCAUAUCCGAUUUGGGAUAUUACCCCACCACUAAUAAUACUUUAUUUAUUCUAACUUCUCAAUCUUUCACCAUUCUCAAUACUAAUUAUAACACAUUUUCAUCACUUUCAAUACUAAUUAUAAUUUCUUUUCUCCACUGCUAAUACGUACACUUAACAAUUUUUCCUUAAAACCAGUGUCGUCCCCUACUAAGAAGUUAUUUGGGGGACGUAGGGAGUAUUUUUUAAUGAUAUGGCAUCCAAAUAUGUUGUGACAAUCCAGUGAGCAAUAUCAACUUUUUGGAGCUGAAAACCGAUGUGAGGUACAACUAAUACACAAUAUGUUGUGGCAAUCCAGUAAUAUACCCUAAGGAUGCGUCAUCUUUUGUUGUAAAUUUAUCAUGGAAAAAUGAGGGAUAAACAAAAUUUCACCCAUUAAAUCCUUCAUUUUUUCCCUCAUUUCUUACAAAAUAGAAUUUGACCCUUACUCAUUUCUCAUUUUCACUGCAAAGGGGGGCUAAUAUUAUCUCUCUAUUUUUGGUAUAAUGAAGAAUUUGAUACGUAAUUACAAUUAAUUAUAAUGAAGUGUGUAUUUUAGUUGCUCAUAUUCUUGGAUUAUUUAUGCUUUAAUGAAACGAUCCACUGCCUUUAACAUUUUGGCAUUUUAAAGUAAACGCCGAAAUGCAACGAUCCACUGCCUUUUAAGUAAACACCCUUGCUAACCCCUGCAUGCGUUUUUUCAUCAAACACUUGGGUUCAUUCUUUUAGGCAUUUUAUCAAACAGUUGUGCUCAGCCUCAUCCUUUUGAUCACAUUCCCAUAUCUCUCCUUAUAUGAAACCGCAUUUUCUAUUUCUCAUAUAUUUCCUAUAUAAUAUUUCCAUCAUUUCUAGCUCAACAAUAAUUCUUCUAGCAAAAUUAUCAUUUCAAAUGCACUCUUUUCCUUUUCUACUUUCUCUUCUGCAUAACAGAAAUACUAAUCCACCAUAAAAUAAUCAUAACUUUUUCUUAAUGAUACGAUGAGGGCACAAAGUUGAGAUGAUAAAAUCAUACAUAUUGGCGAAUGUUGCCGCCGGCUUCCUCUGACUUUUGGAUGCUGAGGGGAGGGGUGGCGGUGAAAUACCAGGAGUUGAUGAUGAAUUUGAUGGUUGUUUCCAUGUCCACCUGCCGCAGAGACCGAGAUACGAUUUUAGAAACAAACGGCAAAAUUACAAUUUCACAUAUAAAAAAUAAAAGACAAUUAAUAAAGCGCAUAAUAUUGGUAAGAUGCUUCCAACCAAUAGGUCGGGAUUGUAUAUCGUGUGAGUGUGUUUUUCAUUUUUUAGUAAUAACAUGUCGUGCUCGGGGCUUUUUUCCGUAUCUGCCCCUGCUUCCCGUCGUCGUGCCCGACUCGUCGGUUUUUGUCAUGCGGAGGUAGGUGGUGGCGUCGGUGAAGUUGGCGUCGCCUUCCAAGCGUAGGCCUUCCGAAUGUGGCGGCUUUUGGUAGAAGUCGUAGGUGAAGGAGACUGCAUCGCCGACCGACACGGUGGCGAGGAGGAGGGCGAUGGAGGAGAGGAGAGGAAUUAAGGUUUGGAGAAGGUUGGCCAAUUUGAUUAAAUGUAUUUGGAUGUAGUGGAUGAUGGUGUAUCGAUCUCUUGCUCCUAUUUAUAGUUGUAAAUAUAUAUUAAUAAUGGUAUCAUUCAAUCAUUAUACUUUAGGCCGGCCGGGCCGGAUCCUCUAUUCCAAAUUCUAUGUCUCAUUGUUCAUAUUCACUAUUAAUUUCACUAUUUCAAUAAUUAAAAAAAUUCAUAGAGUUUGGGGCAGAGGAUCCCGUUUGAAUCCCACAUGGAUCCUCUGUCCCAUAACUUAUUGUGUUCCUUCCCAUUAUUAAUCUCGAUAUUAUAUUUCUACUUUGGAGUUAAUUCAUUAUAAACCCAUGAAAGAUCAGACGAAAUUCAUCCAAUAAACAUUUAUAAAUUUAUAUUUAAAUUUUGUUUCGCGGGUAUCUGAUAGAUAAUAGGUAUUCGUGGGUGGCGAAUUUGGGUAGCAUUUGAUAUUCAUAGAUAGUUUCAUGAUUAAAAUCCAAUAUUCAUUUAGUUCACGGGUAUGGUAUGACAGCCACUAUCUGUGUACGUCAUACCUGAUUGCCAGUAUGACAAAUAUAAAAGUUGUGAGAUGCACAGCAGCUUAAUUAUUCAAAUAGAAAUAUCAUCACAUGUGCAUUGAUAUUUCACAAAAUAAAUACUACUACUAAUAAAUACUCCCUCCGUCCACCAAAGAUAUGCCACUUUACUUUCGGUACGAGUUUUAAUAAAAUGUGAGUGAAGUUGGUAGUGGAGUAAGGGUCCCACUUUAAAUGUGAGUGGAAUGGUAUGGACCUUACUACUAAAAAUGGAUGUGGCAUAUUUUUCGUGGACGAACGAGAAAGAAAAUUGUGGCAUAUCUUUGGUGGACGGAGGGAGUAGUACUCAUUGAUAAUGCAUGCCAACACAUGGUUCUUGCAAGUCAUAUAUAUACCUCAUCAGCAAUAUAGUAAAAUGAUGAUUUGACAACCAGAUUAAGACACCAAUUAUUCUUGUCGGGACACAGACAUAUAUGCAUAUAGAAUUAAUAUUAUUUACUAUUUCGUUUAUACACGUGAAUUAUGCUUUGGAUGCAACAUCGCCACGUCUCUUUCAUUUAUACUUCUCUAGUGUAUUGCGGACAAAAUAGUUAGUGUCUUUAAGAAAUUAAAAAUUUUCAAAUACAUAAGAAAGAAUAAUUAAUCUAAUUGGUGCGCCGGCAACUAAAACUUUUUUCAAUUCACUUUAUAUUUUAUAUACUCCCUCCGUCCACGAUUUAAUGCCCCAUUUUAGUGUGGGCACGGAGACUAAGAAAACUGAAAAAGGUGAUGUGAAUGAAAUAUAAGGGUAGUUGACUAAAGUGAUAAAGAUGCUGUGAGUGGGUUCACUAGUGAUAAAGUAUAGGAAAUAUAGAAUAUAAAAAUGAUAAAGGUGUUUUAAGUUGGGUCCAUUAGUGGCAAAGAGUAAUAAAUAUAGAAAAAGAAGAGUAAAAAAGUACAAAAAGCAUAAUAGGGCUUUAAUUUGUGGACAAAAAAUUAAGAGCAAGUAGGGCUUUAAAUUGUGGACGGAGGGAGUAUUUAACAUUACAAGUCAAUUGCUUGCAGAAUUUGAGCUUGUCUCCCGUGAUGGAGACCUCACCAUGCGGCAACCCGUGCCUGCGCCUGCCUUUUUUCUUCCCGUCUUGCUCUAUCCAGAUAUUAUACGUGAUCCAACUCUUUCCAGAUAUUAUACGUAAAUGAUAAUUUUACUAACAAAAAUUACACUUUUUAUCAAUAACAAAUGAAACUAUGCAUACAAAACAGGAGGUAAAUGAUAUUUUUCUUAAUAACAACUGAUACUUUUUCAAUGCAAAUAAUACUUCGCAAAUGAUAUUUUAAUAUAAAAGUAAAUGAUACUUUGUAUAAAAAUAAAUGUUAUAUUACAAAUGACACUUUUAAUGCAUACCAAUGACACUUUUAAUAACAAAAAUUGAGAAAAAAAAAUUAGAAUUCGGCCUUAAUUAAAAUUUGGACAACAUUUAUUUGGGCAAAGAAGAAAAACACCUGAAUUUUUUUUUUUCCUUUUUUGAGAGAGAAAAACUCAUGAAAUUUCAUGCAAAAGGUAAUGCAUAGCCAACCGGGCUCAAUCAUCUUUCGGCGGUUUUGGUUUGAUUCUUCCAACAUCUAGGGUAGCAUUCACACAAAAUCAACUCGUGUUCAAAAAUCUGAAAUUAAAAUUAACGAUGUGUCUCAGUAUAGAGAUAAGAACAUACCCCUCAAAUGGUUCGAGCCAAGGUCUAAUUCCUUCAGCAGUGUGAUAUUCCAAAUUUGAGUAGGCAUAUAUCCGCCAAAGUUGUUGUCUGACAAGCGAAUACUCUCAAGUUGUGGACAUUGGUACAAACUCGAUGGUAUAUCUCCUUCCAAAUUGUUAAAGGAUAGGUUCACUAGUUUAAGUCUUUGAAGGUUAUUGUACGUGCNUAGACAACAAGAAAUAUCUAUUGUCUAUUCUAUGACAAAAAAAUUAAAAAAUUCUAAUAUAUCUGCAUCCCUGUAUUACAAUACCAAUAUAUAUGAAAAAAUAAAAAUAAUUAAAAAUCAAAUAAUCAAACAAUACUUAUAAACCACUAAUACUCACAAUCAAAUAUUUACACAUCAGUGUAAAUAUUGGGUUCGAGUCCUCUGCGUGUGUUGAUCAAGCGGUAAGGGGUUAAUGCCUAAGGUCAAAGGUCUGGGAUUCGAGUCCCCUGUGGUGUAGCCUUUUAAUUUCGUUAUUUAAUAUUGUAAAUUUAUAAAAAAAAAAAAGUAUAUUUACACAUCAACAAUUGUAUUAUCUUUAAUACGCCUUCAUUCAUCUAAUAAAAAAAAUCUCUAAUAAAAUCUCCAACUAACUCCGGUCAUGAUCAUCUCUUGAAGGCGGAGGAAGGUGGAGUCCGUCGGGAAAUGGGUACUGCCUUGAUAGAUGAGAUCUUUCGGCUGGUCGCCCCAGAAGUCGUAGGUGAAGGACGUCGUUUGGGACAACGCCGUGUUGGAAACGGAGAGGAGGAGGACGAUGGAGGAGAGGAGAGGAGUUAAGGUUUGAAGAAGCUGGUUGGCCAUGGCUUAAUUGAUUUAGAUUUAGAGAUGUGGUGGAUGAUGGUGGUAUCGAUCUCUUGCACCUAUUUAUACUAGUAUGGUUCAUGCCUGUUAAUAAUUGUAUAUAUCAAUCAUCGUGCAUCUAUCCCAAAUUAUAUGUCUUAUUAUUCACUAAUUAGAUGGAUUAAAUCCUGAUUAGUAACCAUAAAAUUAAACUGUCAAUGAGGCCUUGCUCUAGUGGCAAAGCUGUGACACCGAAUAACUUUUCUUUGUGAAAUGUCUUGGGUUCAAUCUCGCCUGCAUGCGGUGAUGUGUGUCCAUUUUAGGUGGUGUGGUAUUCUUGUCUGCGUGCGGUGUUGUAUUGUUUAGUGUUGAGGUCCCACAUGCAGAGCGUUCUUGCCUGUGUACGUGUCACAGCCCAAAACCAUUUAUUUUCUUUACAAAUUUUAUAUAUGAAAAUUAUUUAAUUUUUAAGUUAUAGAGUUUUUGAAAUAUAUAUAGUAUCAAUUUUAUGUUAACUUAGUCGUGUCCCUAAUUAAAAGAAUGACUUUAAAAUAAAACUUAAGCCUUAAAAAUUUAAUCUACAUUCAUAUAUAACUGAAAUUACAUGCAUGUCUAAAUAUUAUUUAUAAUUAUCAAUAACAAGAUUAAUGAUUCUAUAUCUCUAUGUUUAUACAUGUAUUCACGUAUGACAUAGUAUAUAUUAGCUAUUAAGUUAAAAACUAAUAAAAUACUACACUUUUGCAUAGGAUAUAUAUUUAAUUAGUAGUAGGAUAGGACACGUGUAUUAAUUUUAAGGGCAAGUAAUCAAACUUUUGAAUGAUUCAUCAUGCUUAAAAAAAAAAGAGACCUAGAUAGAUGAUUCAUCAGAUUCAAAAACAAGUAUAAAUAGACUUCGGGUUUGAAAUUUUAAUUAAUUUGCAACAACAAUUCAAACUGACUGUAUUAAGGUAAGUAGUUACAGAUUUCAUACACAUAUUAUAUGAUUUCGCACACAUAUUAAGGUAAGUAUAUAUAAAUAUUUUUUAAAAUCAUAUAUUAUAUAAUAAUUAUAUUUAAGUUUUAUAUUAUUCUUUAUAAACUAUUGUUUCAUUCUAUAUAAUUAGGUGUGGCACGACUAGGACGUAACUUUCUAUUGAAUUUCUCAAGUUAAUCUUAGAGUUCAAGUUUCAGGUGUGAGAUUUAUUUAAAUACAUGUCGUACGUGGUUAUUUAUUGUCCAUUUUAAUAAGAUGUGUUUACCAUAUGUGUUAUGACGCAUAUUUUUAGGAUAUCACUAGGUGCCCAUAAAUAGGAUCCAGGACUUCACCGUCCUUGGAUUGCCACAAUGCGAUUUGAGGUUUAUUUUGAGGAUGUCGUUAGGGGCCCGUACAUAGGGUCCAGGACUUUAAUAGUCAUUGGGUUGCCAUAGUGCAAAUAUUGAGGAUAUAUAUGAAGUGACCGUAUGUGUUACCGUUUCAUUAACGUGGACAAUGAUUGCAUGUUUAAGAGACAAUAACCAAUUUUUCAGACAUUUGUGAACAAAAUGAAGCAUGUUUAGAGAUCCUUAAUACAGGUGUACGAAAUGAUGGAUAAAUAAGUUUGUGAAACAAAUUUCACCAUACCUAACCCCACAAUUAUUUGCGGUCGAAUUUCCUCGUCACAGGAAAAAGAGAUGAUGACAAAAGGGAAAAAAUUAAUUAACAAAGUAGAAGAUGCAUGACAACUGUAAAAGAAAAAUAAUGCUACUAAUUAAAUAGUCCAAACUUCAUACGUUUCAUAUCAUAAGUGGCAGUUCUAUUUUUUUUUUUGCGAAUGUGAACAAAAUAACGAAUAAUUUUUAAAGUAAUAGUAAUAAGGAGAUGUGUUUUGACAGAAAACGACAUGAGCGGCCUAAAAAUAAGAGGGAAAAAGAUAAUCAUAUAAAUAUUCAAAAUCAAACGGAUUGGCAUGUAUUCAUCAUUUUUUAUUUUUUAUUUUGAUAAUUUAACAGUACUCCCUCCGUCCGUCAAAAGUAGACCACUUUGGUUGGGCACGGGAUUUAAUAAAAUUAGUGAUGAUUUUGAUGUAGUAGAGAAAGAGUUCCACCACUUUAUGAGAUGUGUGGUUGAGAUUGAAUUUGUUGUGAUUUUUUUGUAAAUAAAGAGUGUUUGUAAGGAUAAAAGAUUAAAGUGGGUGGUGGGACCAUUUCCAUAAAAGGAAAGUGGUCUACUAUUUGCGGACGCCCAAUAUAGUAAAAGUAGUCUACUUUUGGCGGACGGGGAGAGUAUUAAAUAAAUAAAUUUAAAGGUUGCACCCCUUACUGCUUGGCUUUUAGAUUAUGUUAUAAUAAUAAAAUUAACAGCACGUUUACAAUAUAAAAUUAAUUAUGAUAAAUACAAUAUAUUAAUAAUAAAUACUCAAUUACCUCUUAACAUAAUUCGCGCAUCAUGGCUUUUAGCUUAUAUUAUAAAGAUAUAAUAUGUUGUCUAUAAUAAUCGACGGAAGGUAAUAGACAACAUGUUUUAUAUGUUGUCUAUAAUAAUAUAGACAGUAGAUCUAGUGUUAUAGAUAACAAUUAAUACUUGUUGUCUAUAUGAUGAUAGACACCAAAAAUCUCUGUUGUCUAUUCUAUGACAAAAAAAUUUAAAAAAAUUCUAAUAUAUUUACAUCCCUGUAUUACAAUACCAAUAUAUAUGAAAAAAUAAAAAUAAUUAAAAAUCAAAUAAUCAAACAAUACUUAUAAACCACUAAUACUCACAAUCAAAUAUUUACACAUCAACAACUGUAUUAUCUUUAAUUACGCCUUCAUUUAUCUAUUAAAAAAAAUCUCUAAUAAAAUCUCUAACUAACUCCGGUCAUCAUCUCUUGAAGGCUUAGAAAAUGUCCAAAUACAGCGGCACAUGCUCAUUAUUGUGUGAGCGAUGAGAACUUUGCGCUGAACCUAUAAAGUAACUAUACUUAACUGGUAAAGUAAUUGUAUCCCGUGAAUCUAAAGGAAGACUACACACGUUGAUAGAGUUUGAAAGAAAAGAAUAAAGAGAAUGAAAAUCCAAAGAAUUUGCUUCUUCCGUUGAACAAUCCCUACACAACAUUGAAAUAUCAAUGAAAAUAAUGGCUAUCGUAUACUCCCUCCAUCCAUGAAAGAACUUCAUAGGAGGGAGUGACACGGGUUUUAAGAAAAAAUAUUGUUAAGUGUAUUGAGAGUGGAUAAAAGGUAGUUGAGUGUAUUGGGAGUGGUGAAAAUGUGUUAUAGUUAAUAUUGAGAGUUGUGAAAAGUGAAAAGUAAGAGGAUUAUAAGUGGUGGGGUAUAGUCCAAAAAUAGGUAGGAAGUUCUUUUGUGGACGUCCCAAAAAGGAAAGAUAUGAAGUUCUUUCGUGGACGGAGGGAGUAUUAUUUUGCAGCAGCAACCACGUUUGAAAACUCGAUCCCUCUGUUCUUGAAUUUGUGAAAUUUCCGACUGAUUUAUUAGAUUCACCAUUUAUUUCAGUUUAAUUAGUCUAUAUAUAGAUAUUUCUUAUAUUAUUAAAUUGUUAACCUCAUGGUAGAUUUCAAGAUUUGAAAAUUCAACAAAGAGCUUGAGAAUUAUUGAGAUUGGAAGGGGAAGAUGAAACAUAAUUGGGUGAAAUUAGAAACCAAUUAAAGUCACAAGAUUGAACAAAAACAUAACUUAAAAACACAAAAUAAGCAAAUCGUAGAUGCAGUAUCUUGCAAGAAAAAGUUCAUAUUCCCAAGGCUAUGAUGAGCACGAAUUAGGGUGUGUCUGCAUUUUAUCCCUCUAAAUAGAGGAAUAACAAAAUUUUAUUCUUUAAAUGUUUGCUUUCUUAUCACACAUUCUACACAAACACCAUUUUUUCUUCCUUAUUUUCACUUCAAGGAGGANUAAUAUUAUCCCUCCAAUUUUGGUGUGAUAAUAUUAUCUCUUCUUGAAGUGAAAAUAAGGAAGAAAAAAUGGUAUUUGUGUAGGAUGUGGGAUAAGAAAGCAAACAUUUAAAGGUAUAAAUUUUUGUUAUUCCUCAUUUAGAGGAAUAAAAAGCAAACACACAUUAGAGUCUACUUACAAUUUAGGCGCAGGCUGUGCGAGAAUUACUUAGUCGAAUAGGAUCCUAAGUAUUUAUAUUUCUCAUGUUCUUGUGUAUUUUUUUACUGAUUCACUAUUGGAUUAACAAGAAUUAUCUUACUUUAAAUUUCUUGCUUUAAAAAAAAAAAAGAAUUAUCUUACUUCAUGUAUGGUAUGCCAACUGUUCGAUAAAGGUCCUUUUAGAAAUCUUCUAUUGAUUACCUUGCGAAGACCACAAAACUAGACACACCCAAAAGCAUUCUUGCAUAGUUUAUACAUAGAGAUGGCCGAUUGAUGAUCGUCUUAUUUGUAGACUUAACGCGAGCAGACUCGAUCGCUUAGUCCUUAUUGAUUUACGACACACAUGCUCACACACACACAUACACACAUCACAAAAUCACACAAAUUGACGGAUAAUGUUGCCGUUCAGCUCCUUCCUGAACCUCACCGCGGCAUUUUUCUGCACCAUAGUGGCCGUGAAAUACCACGAGACGAUGUCAUGGACGGCGACGUGUUGUCCGGUGGCGGCGGAUAGCCCGACCUGAACCUGCUGAGGAACAAAGUCGCUCAAAUCGUACUCAUAGUUGACAUCAAAUGUCUGCGAGCCGGCGGUGACUUUCACGGAGAUCAUCCUUGUGGCUCCGACGUAGUUGAUCCGCGCAGUCACCUGCUGCCCGAGUAUGGAGUUGUCGACCUUCGUCGUGUUGCUGGAUGCCCUAGAGCCGAAGUCGAUGCCGAUGUGGGGAUAGAGCGGAUCCCACGCGCCGUUGACGUAGGUGUCGAUUUCGACGGCGAAGACCGAGGGGCUGUUGCCGUUGGAGCCAAAGAUUCCGAGGUUGGCUCCGUUGGAGCCAGGGGGGAUGGUGGAACCGACGGGGGCAAUGAAGAAGGCGAGGCCGUCGGCAGGCUCGUUGUCGGCGCCCGGGGUGAUGAUGAAGUUCACAGUGGUUUCGAAGUCGACCUGCCCACCGGACUGCGAGAAUUGGACCGGGUUCGAGUGCAAGACGCGGCCGACUUGUGAGGGCUGUGCGUCUGUGAGGCGGAGGAAGGUGGAGUCCGUCGGGAAAUGGGCGCUGCCUUGAUAGAUGAGAUCUUUCGGCUGGUCGCCCCAGAAGUCGUAGGUGAAGGACGUCGUUUGGGACAACGCCGUGUUGGAAACGGCGAGGAGGAGGGCGAUGGAGGCGAGGAGAGGAGUUAAGGUUUGAACAAGCUGGUUGGCCAUGGCUUAAUUGAUUUAGAUUUAGAUUUAGAGAUGUGGUGGAUGAUGGUGGCCAGGUAUCGAUCUCUUGCACCUAUUUAUACUAGUAUGGUUCAUGCCUGUUAAUAAUUGUAUAUAUCAAUCAAUCAUCGUGCAUCUAUCCCAAAUUAUAUGUCUUAUUAUUCACUAAUUAGAUGGAAUAAAUCCUAAUUAGCAAUCUUAAAAUUACACCGCCAAUGAGGCCUUGCUCUAGUGGUAAAGCUGUGGCACCGAAUAACUUUUCUUUGUGAAAGGUCUUGGGUUCAAUCUCGCCUGCAUGCGGUGAUGUUUGUCCAUUUUAGAUGGUGUGGUAUUCUUGCCUGCGUGCGGUGUUGUAUUAUUUAGUCUUAGGCGUUCUUGCCUGUGUGCAUAUCACUGUGUGACAAUUAAAAGAAUGACUUUAAAAUAAAAGUUAAGCCUUAAAAAUUUAAUCUACAUUCAUAUAUAACUGAAAUUACAUGCAUGUCUAAUUUUUUUAAUAUCAUAACAAGAUAAGAUUUAUUAAAUAAUUCAGAUGCAUAAAUAAAAAGUUAAUCUAUAAACACAGUAUAGAUAUAUUAUCAAUGAUAGGCCGUGUAUAAGUCUUAAUCUGUAAAACUAUAUCAUCCCAGCCUUAAACGACUACCAUUCCUGCUUUCCCAGAGCAACCACACUGUUCCCACCCACAAAGCUUUAAGCAGUACAUGCAUGUCUAAAUAUUAUUUAUAAUUAUCAAUAACAAGAUUAAUGAUUCUAUAUCUCUAUGUUUAUACAUAUAUUCACGUAUGACAUAGUAUAUAUUAGCUAUUAAGUUAAAAACUAAUAAAAUACUACAGUUUUGCAUAGGAUAUAUAUUUAAUUAGUAGUAGGAUAGGACACGUGUAUUAAUUUUAAGGGCAAGUAAUCAAACUUUUGAAUGAUUCAUCAUGCUUAAAAAAAAAAAGAGACCUAGAUAGAUGAUUCAUCAGAUUCAAAAACAAGUAUAAAUAGACUUCGAGUUUGAAAUUUUAAUUAAUUUGCAACAACAAUUCAAACUGACUGUAUUAAGGUAAGUAGUUACAGAUUUCAUACACAUUAUAUGAUUUCGCGCACAUACGUAUGUAUAUAUAAAUAUUUUUUAAAAUCAUAUACUCCCUCCGUCCCCAAAAUAAGUUCCUCUUUGGGGACGGCACGGAUUUUAAGGAAAAGUGGUAAAGUGUAUUAAUAGUGGAGAAAAAUAUGUUAUAAUUAGUAUUGGAAGUUGUGAAAAGGUGAAAAAGUGUUAUAAUUAGUAUUGGGAGUGGUGAAAAAGUGAAAAGUAAGAAUAAAUAAAGUAUUAUUAGUGGUGGGGUAGUUGUCCAAAAAUGGAAAAAAAGAAAGAGGAACUUAUUUGGGGGACAUCCCAAAAUGGAAAAAGAGGAACUUAUUUCAGGGACGGAGGGAGUAUUAUAUAAUAAUUAUAUUUAAGUUUUAUAUUAUUCUUUAUAAACUAUUGUUCCAUUCUAUAUAAUUAGGUGUGGCACGACUAGGACGUAACUUUCGAUUGAAUUUCUCAAGUUAAUUUUCAAGUUCAAGUUUCAGGUGUGAGAUUUAUUUAAAUACAUGUCAUGAUUAUUCAUUGUCCAUUUUAAUAGUAUGUGUUUACCAUAUGUGUUAUGACGCAUAUUUUGAGGACAUCGCUAGGAGCCCAUAAAUAGGGUCCAGGACUUCACCGUCCUUGGAUUGCCACAAUGCGAUUUGAGGUUUAUUUUGAGGAUGUCGUCAGGGGCCCGUAAAUAGGGUCCAGGACUUUAAUAGUCAUUGGGUUGCCACAGUGCGAAUAUUGAAGAUAUAUAUGAAGUGACCGUAUGUGUUACCGUUUCAUUAACGUGGACAAUGAUUGCAUGUUUAAGAGACAAUAACCAAUUUUUCAGACAUUUGUGAACAAAAUGAAGCAUGUUUAGAGAUCCUUAAUAAAGGUGUACGAAAUGAUGGAUAAAUAAGUUUGUGAAACAAAUUUCACCAUACCUAACCCCACAAUUAUUUGCGGUCGAAUUUCCUCGUCACAGGAAAAAGAGAUGAUGACAAAAGGGCAAAAAUUAAUUAACAAAGUAGAAGAUGCAUGACAACUGUAAAAGAAAAAUAAUGCUACUAAUUAAAUAGUCCAAACUUCAUACGUUUCAUAUCAUAAGUGGCAGUUCUAUUUUUUUUUUGCGAAAGUGAACAAAAUAACGAAUAAUUUUUAAAGUAAUAGUAAUAAGGAGAUGUGUUUUGACAGAAAACGACAUGAGCGGCCUAAAAAUAAGAGGGAAAAAGAUAAUCAUAUAAAUAUGGGUUAAUUGCCUCUAAAUACACCACCUUUCCUUGAAUUCUACAAUUGCACAUCACCUUUAAAAUCCGCCCUUAAAUACACCACCUUUCCUUGAGUUCUACAAUUGCACAUCACCUUUAAAUCCGCCCCAAAAUACAUCAUCUUUAUAUUUUUUCUGUUUUUGCACAUGACUAAAAAAUUCUCAAGAAAUAAAUUAAAGUGUUAAUUUAUAAAUUUAAAUAUCUUUUUAGCAGCGAAAACAUAAUAAAAUAAAAUUCUUUAUAAAGUUUAAAAUCAUAUAUAUAUAUAUAUAUAUAUAAGUAUUUUCGUAAAGAAAUAAAUUCUCUAAUAAAUUUUUAGAAAGAACUUGAAUUAAAAAAAUAAACAAGUCAUGACAUUAAGAAAAUAAAAUGAAAUUUUUAUUUUAAUAAAUUUCACACGAAUUCGAUAUAAUUUGGAAUUUAGAGUUACAAUAAUCAGAAGUACCACAUGAAUAAUAUAAUGAGUUUGAAAGAAAUUUUUUUUAAAGAGGUUCGACACGCCCAUUCGACUUUCCACGCGCCUCCAAUGUCAUUUACCUGAAAUAUUAANUAUAUAAGUAUUUUUCGUAAAGAAAUAAAUUCUCUAAUAAAUUUUUAGAAAGAACUUGAUUAAAAAAUAAACAAGACAUGACAUUAAGAAAAUAAAAUGAAACUUUUAUUUUAAUAAAUUUCACACGAAUUCGAUAUAAUUUGGAAUUUAGAGUUACAAUAAUAAAAAGAACCACAUAAAUAAUAUAAUCAGUUUGAAAGAAAUAUAUAUAUAUUUUUUUAAAGAGGUUCGACGCGCCCAUUCGACUCUCCACGCGCUACCAAUGUCAUUACCUGAAAUACUAAAUAUGGGAUAAGCAUACAUAAUAUACUUAGUGUGGGAACAUGCAAUUAUUGUCCACGUUAAUAAAAUAGUAACACAUACGAUCAUAACAUUCAAAACGACACAAUUUUGCCAAUAUGGAAGCCACGUCAUUUAAAGUGGUAACACCCUAAUCUAACUAAAGUGUUAAAUAUAAAUUUAAAGCGGAAAUAUAAUAAAAUAAAGUUCUUUAUAAAAAUAAAUAAAGAAUUUUAUUUUAUUAUAUUUCCGCUGCUAAAAAAGAUAUUUAAAAUUUAUAAAUUAACACUUUAAUUUAUUUCUUGAGGAUUUUUAAGUCAUGUGCAAAAACAGAAAAAAAAUAUAAAGGUGAUGUAUUUUGGGGCGGAUUUAGAAUUCAAGGAAAUGUGGUGUAUUUAGGGGCGGAUUUUAAAGGUGAUGUGCAAUUGUAGAAUUCAAGGAAAGGUGGUGUAUUUAGGGGAAAUUAACCCUAUAAAUAUUCAAAAUCAAACGGAUUGGCAUGUAUUCAUCAUUUUUUAUUUUUUAUUUUGAUAAUUUAACAGUAUUAAAUAAAGAAAUUUAUAGGCUGCGUCCCUUACUGCUUGGCUUUUAGAUUAUGUUGUAAUAAUAAAAUUAAAAGCACGUUUACAAUAUAAAAUUAAUUAUGAUAAAUACAAUAUAUUAAUAAUAAAUACUCAAUUACCUCUUAACAUAAUUCGCGCAUCAUGGCUUUUAGCUUAUAUUAUAAAGAUAUAAUAUGUUGUCUAUAAUAAUCGACGGAAGGUAAUAGACAACAUGUUUUACUUCUUGUCUAUAAUAAUAUAGACAGUAGAUCUAGUGUUAUAGAUAACAAUUAAUACGUGUUGUCUAUAUGAUGAUAGACACCAAAAAUCUCUGUUGUCUAUUCUAUGACAAAAAAAUUUAAAAAAAUUCUAAUAUAUUUACAUCCCUGUAUUACAAUACCAAUAUAUAUGAAAAAAUAAAAAUAAUUAAAAAUCAAAUAAUCAAACAAUACUUAUAAACCACUAAUACUCACAAUCAAAUAUUUACACAUCAACAAUUGUAUUAUCUUUAAUUACGCCUUCAUUUAUCUACUAAAAAAAAUCUCUAAUAAAAUCUCUAACUAACUCCGGUCAUCAUCUCUUGAAGGCUUAGAAAAUGUCCAAAUACAGCGGCACAUGCUCAUUAUUGUGUGAGCGAUGAGAACUUUGCGCUGAACCUAUAAAGUAACUAUACUUAACUGGUAAAGUAAUUGUAUCCCGUGAAUCUAAAGGAAGAAUAAACACGUUGAUAGAGUUUGAAAGAAAAGAAUAAAGAGAAUGAAAAUCCAAAGAAUUUGCUUCUUCCGUUGAACAAUCCCUACACAACGUUGAAAUAUCAAUGAAAACAAUGGCUAUCCUAUACUCCCUCCAUCCAUGAAAGAACUUCCUAGGAGGGAGUGACACGGGUUUUAAGAAAAAAUAUUGUUAAGUGUAUUGAGAGUGGAUAAAAGGUAGUUGAGUGUAUUGGGAGUGGUGAAAAUGUGUUAUAGUUAAUAUUGAGAGUUGUGAAAAGUGAAAAGUAAGAGGAUUAUAAGUGGUGGGGUAUAGUCCAAAAAUAGGUAGGAAGUUCUUUUGUGGACGUCCCAAAAAGGAAAGAUAUGAAGUUCUUUCGUGGACGGAGGGAGUAUUAUUUUGCAGCAGCAACCACGUUUAAAAACUCGAUCCCUCUAUUCUUGAAUUUGUGAAAUUUCCGACUGAUUUAUUAGAUUCACCAUUUAUUUCAGUUUAAUUAGUCUAUAUAUAGAUAUUUCUUAUAUUAUUAAAUUGUUAACCUCAUGGUAGAUUUCAAGAUUUGAAAAUUCAACAAAGAGCUUGAGAAUUAUAGAGAUUGGAAGGGGAAGAUGAAACAUAGUUGGGUGAAAUUAGAAACCAAUUAAAGUCAGGAGAUUGAAGAAAAACAUAACUUAAAAACACAAAAUAAGCAAAUCGUAGAUGCAGUAUCUUGCAAGAAAAAGUUCAUAUUCCCAAGGCUAUGAUGAGCACGAAUUAGGGUGUGUCUGCAUUUUAUCCCUCUAAAUGGAGGAAUAAUAAAAUUUUAUGCCUUUAAAUGUUUGCUUUCUUAUCACACAUUCUAAACAAACACCAUUUUUUCUUCCUUAUUUUCACUUCAAUGAGGGAUAAUAUUAUCCCUCCAAUUUUGGUGUGAUAAUAUUAUCCCUCCUACAAGUGAAAAUAAGGAAGAAAAAAUGGUACUCCCUUCGUCCCAAACGAAAUGUCCUGUUUUCCUUUUUGGGCUGUCCCAAACGAAAUGUCCUGUUUCCUUUUUUGGCAAUACACUCUCUCUCUAUACUUAAUAUUUAAAUAAUUUUCACCAACCCACUUUAUCUACUUUAUACACAUUUCUUAAUCUCCGUGCCGAAAAGAAAUGGGACAUUUCGUUUGGGACGGAGGGAGUAUUUGUGUAGGAUGUGGGAUAAGAAAACAAACAUUUAAAGACAUAAAUUUUUGUUAUUCCUCCAUUUAGAGGGAUAAAAAGCAAACACACCUUAGAGUCUAAUUACAAUUUAGGCGCAGGCUGUGUGAGAAUUACUUAGUCGAAUAGGAUCCUUAGUAUUUAUAUUUCUCAUGUUCUUGUGUAUUUUUUCACUGAUUCACUAUUGGAUUAACAAGAAUUAUCUUACUUUAAAAAAAAAAAAGAAAUGAUCUUACUUCAUGUAUGGUAUGCCAACUGUUCGAUAAAGGUCCUUUUAGAAAUAUUCCAUAGAUUACCUUGCAAAGACCACAAAACUAGACACACCCUGCAUAGUUUAUACAUAGGGAUGGCCGAUUGAUGAUCGUCUUAUUUGUAGACUUAACGAGAGCAGACUCGAUCGCUUAGUCCUUACUGAUUUACGACACACAUGCACACAUACACAGAUACACACAUCACAAAAUCACGCAAAUUGACGGAUAAUGUUGCCGGCCAGCUCCUUCCUGCUCCACGCCACGGCAUUUUUCUGCACCAUGGUGGCCGUGAAAUACCACGAGACGAUGUCAUGGGUGGCGACGUGUUGUCCGGUGGCGGCGGAUAGCCCGACCUGAACCUCCUGAGCAACAAAGUAGCUCAAAUCGUACUCAUAGCUGACAUCAAACGUCUGAUUGCCGGCGGUGACUUUGACGGAGAUCAUCCUUGUGGCUCCGACGUAGUUGAUCCGCGCAGUUACCUGCUGCUUGAGUAUGGAGCUGUCGACCGGCGUCGUCUUGCUGGAUACCCUAGAGCCGAAGUCGAUGCCGAUGUGGGGAUAGAGCGGAUCCCACGCGCCGUUGACGUAGGUGUCGAUUUCAACGGCGAAGACCCCGGGGCUGUUGCCGUUGGAGCCAAAGAUUCCGAGAUUGGCUCCGUCGGAGCCAGGGGGGAUGGUGGAGUCGACGGGGGCAAUGAAGAAGGCGAGGCCGUCGGCAGGCUCGUUGUCGGCGCCGGGGGUGAUGAUGAAGUUCACGGUGGUUUCGAAGUCGACCUGCCCAUUGGACAUCCAGAAUUGGACCGGUUCCGAGUACAUGACGCGGCCGACUUGGGACGGUUGUGCGUCUGUGAGGCGGAGGAAGGUGGAGUCCGUCGGGAAAUGGGCGUUGCCUUGAUAGAUGAGAUCUUUCGGCUGGUCGCCCCAGAAGUCGAAGGUGAACGACGUCGUUUGGGACAACGCCGUGUUGGAAACGGCGAGGAGGAGGGCGAUGGAGGCGAGGAGAGGAGUUAAGUUGGCCAUGGCUUAAUAGAUUUAGAUUUAGAGAUGUGGUGGAUGAUGGUGGUAUCGAUCUGUUGCACCUAUUUAUACUAGUAUGGUUCAUGCCUGAUAAUAAUUGUAUCAAUCAAUCAUCGUGCAUCUAUCCCAAAUUAUAUGUC